Molecule: long non-coding RNA, 53905 nt
Filed under: Oryza brachyantha (malo sina)
Lineage: Eukaryota; Viridiplantae; Streptophyta; Magnoliopsida; Poales; Poaceae
Description: long non-coding RNA (OBRA_LNC000928)
Source: RNAcentral
UUCUACAAAGAUUCAUGGAAUUAGAAGACCUUUUUUAUUUUGGACGAGACGAUAAAAGAGAAACCGAAUACACAUGUAAAAAACCCCCUAUAGGAAUACACAAGGAAAUCGUACAAUUGGCCAAAAUAGAUAAUCAGGGUCAUCUCCAUAUCAUUUUGCAUUUUUUGACAAAUAUAAUCUGUUUGGCUGGUUACAAAUUAGUAGUACACAUCUUUUCUCUCUCCUCUCUUAUCUUUUUAAAAUAUACUUAUAGCUAGCUUAUAGCUGCUAUUGUACCUGUUCUAAGGCAGCUCAUUUUUUUUGAUGAAGGAGAAGUUAAAUAGGGAACAUUUUACGAGGAUGAUGCAUGGUUGCAUCCUAGUAAAUUAUCCUAGUAAAUUAUACAUAGGAGUUUAUAAUUAGCAUGUUUUAUCAUUAAUUAGGGGCGAUUAUUUGACUUCUUUAUGAACAAAACCAAUGAUAUAUUUAUAAAUAAAAAAUAAUUUAUGAAUAAAACUUUAUAUACAUAUUCUUAACGACCUAAAAAGUCAAAUACUGAAAAAUAAUUUUCGUGAACACCAAAAUCAACUCUAAAUUUAAGGUUAAAAAAUCAUAUCUUAGCUUAUAAGCAUAAGCAAAAGCGAAAAAAGGGUUAGUAAUUCAACUUUGGCGCCACCACACGCGCCUCGCCGUCUGCCCAUCUCCACCACCCACUAUCAGUUUUUCUACCACCCAACCAUCCCUCUAAAACUGCCCACAUCACCCUCUACCCCCCUCCAACCGCCUUCAACCCUAAAAUUCUAUCCGUAGUUGUUCUACCAAAAUUCGGGGGUGGUCAUCGCCGUCAUUGUCAUCGAUUAGUCAUUGUUGCUUUCUUCUCACUCCUCUCCUUCUCUAUGCUUUGGUCUAAGGUUGAAGACGACAUUCACCGUUGGAGUGUGAUUUAAUGGUCAGGGCAAUUGAUCGAUGGAUUCAUAAGUUUCAAUUGAUUGGUCAAUAGCAAAAAUGUUAUAUAAUUUACUCCACCCAACAAAACAUAAAAUGGAUCACCGUACCCCUGAAAACAUAGAUGACCAUAUCCAAUCCCAACGUAUUCCUGAAAUAUGGAUGGCCAUAUCUAAAUUUCACCUUAACCGCCAACUAAACACAUCCUAAUAUUAGUAUUAGUACUAUGGACUUCUCAGGAUAUCAACAUUCAGUUGGUAUCAUCUAUAGUACUGCUAAUUGAUAUAUGAACUCUACGUGUUAUUGUGUCUAAUUGUCUACGUAUCGGUGAACAGUACUAUGGUAGAUGAUCUAAAUUUAUUGACCAAUCAACUUCUCCAUGAAGUAUUGGAGUUGAUCGACUUGUACUACCUCCGUCCUCUGAGACUUAUUUUUAGUUUUUCUAGAAAGAUUUCUUAAGUAAUUUAUUGCAUUGAAGUUUAGUACAGUGGGGAUAAGUGCAUUGAUUUUUAUUUUAAAAAACAGGGGAUAAAUGUAUCGAGAAUACAAAAAAAUGAAGGGUAUUACCGUCUUUGUGGUUUUGUAUGAGAUAUGUUAAAAUAAAGUUUAUCUAUCAAAAAAAAAGUAUACUAUUGUUUCACGGUACAAAGGAUUUAGAUUCGUAAUAAAUAAUUCUACACGUGUCUUUUGAUUUGUACCAAUAAAAUAUAGGAAAAUUAAAGGACAAUACUUUCCUAAAAGUAUCCAGUGAAAACAAUGGAAAUUUUACCCACUAAGGCCCUAUUUAGUUGAGAAAUUUUUGAGUUUGGUUAUCGCAUGAGAUAUAUGGACACAUAUUUGACAUAUUAGACAUAGUCUAAUAAAAAAACAAAUUAUAAAUUUCGCCAGGAAACUACGAUACGAAUUUGUUAAGCCUAAUUAAUUCAUUAUUAACAAAUAUUUACUGUAGCACCACGUUGUCAAAUCAUGGUGCAAUUAGACUUAAAAGAUUUGUCUUGUAAUUUACACGUAAUCUAUGUAAUUGAUUUUUCUUUUUACCUAUGGGUAAUAUUCCAUAUCAAAUAUUAAAUGAUAACGUGAAAAUUUUGGUUUUGGGAGAGUAAACAGGGCCUAAAAGAAAUUCAAUUUGUAUUAUCCUUCACUUCUAUUAGCAUGGGACGCAGGGGUUGCUGUUUCGUCCCGUUGAGGGACUGUCGCAGUCAGAACUCAGAAGGCCCUUUUUCUUUGUCUAGGCUCACUUGAACUCUAGCUCGCUCGCAGCACAAACCACGGAGGGAGAACGUAACGUACGCCUAUUAUAUGGGUGCAAUCUGGCGGUCUAGAGUAAUAUGAUAUUUAGAUUAAGAAAAUUUUUAGAAAAAGUGUCAUGUUAAAUGUUUGAUCAAAUGUCAGAAGGGUUUUUGGACACGAAUGAAAAAACGAAUUUCACGGUUAGCCUAGAAACCCCAAGACGAAUCUUUUGAGCCUAAUUAAUCCGUCAUUAGUACAUGUUAGUUACUGUAGCACUUAUGGCUAAUCAUGUGCUAAUUAGGCUCAAAAGAUUCGUCUCAAGAUUUCUUUCAUAACGGUGCAAUUAGUUUUUUGGUUCAUCUAUGUUUAAUGUUUUAUUUAGGUGUCUAAAAAUUCGAUGUGAUGUUUUUAAAAAAAAAUUUUGAACUAAACAAGCCCUAAAUACAGCAACAACACCAGUACACCACGCCGUCAUCAGUUUUGGCAACAUUGUGUCGUCAUCAGCUUUGGCAACAUUGGCAACACAAUGUUGCUUGCUAUGCCCAUGCCAUGCCGAAUCCAAUGAAACCUUAGGCUGGAGUAAUGAAAGUAGCAGGAUGGACGGUGACGGUAGGCUUGGCUUGACCGGACGAGGAGUCUUAGCAUCGCGUCUCGAAUCUCUGUACUUCGAUUUGCUCGGGGGGCAGGGACAGGGAGAGCGACAGGCUGCGAGGUGCGUUGUGCUUCUUGUGCUAAAACAGGCCUAGUUACUCUAAUUAUCUGAAGUCAGGUUACUUGCCCUUCUAAAAACAAACACUGAGACCUUGUUUAGUUUAUAAAAUUUUUUUUUGCAAAAAUAUCACAUCAAGUUUUUAAACACACAUUUAAAAUAUUAAACGUAGUCUAAUUACAAAACAAAUUUUAGAUUCCGCCUAAAAACCGCGAGACGAAUCUUUUGAGUCUAAUUAAUCCAUCAUUAGCACAUGUUGGUACUGUAGCACUUAUGGCUAAUCACGUCCUAAUUAUACUUAAAACUUAAAAGAUUCGUCUCAUAAUUUUCUCCAUAACUGUAUAAUUAGUUUUAAUGUUCAUAUAUAUUUAAUGUUUUAUUUAGGUGUCCAAAGAUUCGAUGCGAUGUUUUUGAAACAAGUUUUUGGAACUAAACACAACCUCAAUACAAGAAUUCAGGUUAGUUGCUCUUCUCAAAAAGAAACCAAUAAUGCUAUGCUAUACAUACGAUUUUUACCGCACGGUUAUGACCAGAAGACCAGAAACCGAACAAUGGUGGCCACCGAAGCAUUUUGUCAUCCGACUAUUUACGUAUAGCAGCGAUCAAAAGAAACACGGAAUACAGGAAUUCCAUCAGUAUGGUCGACGUCAGUCAAACUCCAAUUCCAUUCGGCAAAAGUUUCUGCUACUGUUUCACAAUACUUAACGAUCAUCAUUUUAAACUUUUACCAUCUGUUUCUUUAAUUCCAUUCGGCAAAUGAACGUUGUAUGACUGUUUAUUACAAGAUAAAGAGAAAUAUUUUAAAUUUGCUUUUGUUCAAAGAGUGACCAAAGUUUGGCUGGUUAUAGCGUCUGCUCACAUUUCGUGAGAAACAGGAUUUGUGCCAGAACAAAACUUUGGGAUAGUACCAAAGACGGGUGAUUAUGGAAAAAACCAAAAGCCAUAUUUGCAAACAGAAAAUAAUCUAUGAAUAAAAAAUUUAUAUACGUGAUCUAAAAGUUAAGGCUAAAAACAAAAUACGAUAAAAAAACUCAAAAUCAACUCUAAACUUACGGUUAAAAAUUUAAAUUUUAGAUUAUAAACAUAAGAAAAACGAAAAGAUAUGGAUGAUAGUUUUCAACAGCACCUCGAGGUGAUAGGUAUGGUUUUCUUACACAUUGAGGUGACAAAAACGUAUCAUUCAUUAUGGUGAUAGUUUCGCAGUCUUUAAAAAACCCUUUCUCAUCCAGGGUUAACUUUGGCUGCUAAUCACCUGCCAUAAACGAUACCGAUUAAGCAUAUUGAGAUCAAUUUACAUAUUUCAUUUAUAAUGGUUGCUUACAUACAAUUCCUCAUCUAACAUUCAGUUCCAGAAAUGAAAGCUACAACUGCAAAUUCACAUGAAAAGUGGUCAUACGGCGUGGUAUCCGCAGAUUAAUCCCAGUCAGCAUCAAAGAACCCAGCGUCUUUCAUCUCAGAGUAGUACACGUUCUCUAGGAGCAUAUCUUCCUCCUACAUUCACACAAGAACCAGCACUAUAAAGAAAAUGCUAUAAGAAUAAGACUGUACACGGAAUAUUCGAAGUGCACAAGAUCAAAUAGCUAAAAAAGCAUAGUAAGUUGAUAGGAAGAAGAUAAUAUCGUACCUGGAAAAAGUCUGCUAGGAAAGUCACAUAGAGAAGCGGAAGGUAGAGAGAAUGAUAACAGACGCUGGUGAGAUUGUACAACCUGCAAGAUGAAGUAUCCGCUCAAAUAAUGCUCUCAAAUGCAUCACACUGAAAUGCUACAAAAAGGGCUAGUGUUUACCAUAAACCAAAUCCAGCUCCAGUUGCAACAAGGAAACAUCCAAACAGUGAUAUGCCAUUCAGUAGUAACAUCGCACAGACAUAGUUAUAAUAUGCUGGUUUUGCUGCAAUGAAGUAAUACAAAACCACUGAUUAUGGAACAACAAAUACACAGCUUAAACAUACAUAAUGAUAACUGUGCUGUAAACUGUAAUCAAUUACCAGGUAGCCUGUCUCUCCACCUUGAGUGAUACAUGAACACAAUCAAGCCAUAGACACUAGUAAGAACCAAUUUGUGUAGAAUCCAUAGGCCCCACUUCCCACCAGUUCCUUGAUCAACAUCAAUGAACAAAGAAACACCAAAGCCAAACACAUAUAUAGUCUGUAGAAGGAGCAAAUGUGAGUUCAAAGCUAACAUAGUGCUCUCUAGGCUCUAGCUAAAAUAUGACAACUAAACUGAAUGGAACCAACAAAAGCAUAGAGGGUUGUUCCUGGGCCUUGUUUUAUUUUCAGCAGUCAAAAUACAUGUUCUACAGAGUGCAGUAUGAUAAGACGAGAGCAAACAAGAGCAACUAACAAUAGAAGAUGCACACUGAGUUGCAACACGGAAUUAUAGAACACUGAAAAUAGCAUACUGUUGCAUUCUAACAAGUAACAUAUGAAUGUGAUCAGCCUGAUACGUUAAAAAAUUACAUUUCUAGCACAUUGUUGUUAAGAAAGCAACAUAAAAUAGCAUUGCAAUUAUGUUCUGGCUAUUAAUAAAGGUGGGUGGGUUGCACGAGCCAGGUAAAGAAACACAAUGCCAUCCCGAGAGCAACAAAGGCAGGUAUGAGAUAAGCGGUUACUUCUACUCUACCUGAAGCCUGAACCAGAGCAGUGCAUACCUUCAACAAUACAUCAGCAGCAACUACAGCUCCAGAGAUAACAAAUGUACGUGCCAAAGAUUCAAAACCACUGGUUUCAUUUCCUUGAAGUAGAAAUGCUAUGAGGCUAACUUCCAAGAAUAACAUCCCUGAUUUGGUAAACAGAGACAGCACAUUCCAUGAGAAUGCCCUUUCAGGCAUGCAUUGCCAAGCCUGCGAUUCAAGCAAAUAAAAACAACUGUUAUACAAGACUAUGAAAAAUAAGUAAUAUAUAGGAUAAGAUACAGUAGGAAUAAAAUAGGUCAAAACUUGUGUGGUUCCAGCACAACCCAGACCUCCAGUCACUAAAUUGACAACUACUAUCAAUAAAAGGCUAAAUGUAUGUUCACCAAAACAACUUAUCCAAUGAAACACAACCAUCCACCUAACUUCUACCUCCACUAAACGUACAAAACGUUAACUAAAACCAUUCUACUCCAGAACAAAACAUUAACUAAACGUACAAAUUUUGCACUGUUCAUCAACCCACUUAUCCUACUCCCAAUCACACACUAACAUGUCGUACGCACAUCGCCCUGUUAAUCAGAACCAGGAAGGCAGGCGCGCAAUUCACAGGGGUAAUAGUUAGCAUUUCAGUAUUUGUAACCUUCUCACAGAUUAUUCUGACCCAACAGGCUAGUGCCCUUACAGGAACAACCCUAUUUCACUCGUCGUCACAGCCAGCAAACCAAAUACUAGAAUCAAGCAGGCAGUUCCAUGACCCACCAAAUCAAAUUAUUAGAGACGAGGAACACGAAGGCAAGGCGAGAGGCGAACCUGCAGGAAGCACCAGAGGAGGUUCAGGAUGGCGACGGCCCAGAGGAGCGCGUAGUAGGCGACGACGACGACGUGGGAGCGGCCGUAGCUGAGCCGGCGGAAGCUGCGGCGCGCCUGCCACGCCAGGAACCCGACGAACGCCAGCGACGGGAGCAUCACCGCCAGGCUGUACAGCGCCCCGUGGCACCCGGUCACCCACCACAUCGGCCCCGACUGCGAGGAGGCGUUGGCCUCCGGCGCCUCCACCGCCAGCUCCAUGACGCCCUCCGCCAGCCACCUCCGCAUCGUCACCCCCCUCCGCGCGCGCGCGCGAGCUAGGGUUUGGCCGGGGUUGGGGCGGAUGGGAUCCCGCGGUGGAGGUUGCCGAAGCGGCAAGGCUCCGCACGCUCGCUCGCGCCCGGGGCGUGGUGGGUCGGUGGGGUUGGGUCAAAAGGGGGGAGGAGGCGAGAGGAGGACGACGACGCGAUGCGACCGAACGGAAGAAGAAGAAGGGGAAGACGAUCUUAGUACAGUGAAGUAUUGGGCUUUGGGCUGUGGGCUACGUGGGGGCCCACCGAUGACGUGUUGGACGGGCCGACACGACCUGGUGGCUUUCUUUCUUUCAUCUGUUCUGGUUUUUCCGUUAGAGUUUCUUUUUCUUUGGAUUCAGAUGCAGCACCAACUAUGGGUUUAUGCCAUUUCUUGUGGGAAGUGACAGCAAAUCCAUCUGAAACAUGGAUCGAGAAAGAGAUGUUUCAUUUUUUUCAACGAGACGUUUCAUUCGCGUUGAAAAGCUAAUAGUACACACGAUCGCAUUGCUUUUGCAUAGACACGCAAUCAAUGUUUGUGAACAAAAUUGAUUGGAUUUGGAUGGCUAACAUUGUAAGUUUCUAACAGACGUGCCCAUACCUUGCAACAUCUCUUCCAUGUUUUUGGCUAUAAAUGAGUUGUUGUUACACAUAAGCCUGAUGAUGGUUUAGGUUUUGUAAGGGUUUUUACCAUGUGCACUUGCAAAGUGCAAACCAUGGUUUCUAUAACUAUCAACACAGAAAUUCGGAGCACAUAAGCAAACAUUUAGCACCACCCUCUCUUUCGAACAUGGGGCCAAUUCCAGGUUUUCUUUAUGGAAAUCACACGCUAAAACAAAGACGUACAUGUACGCCAGACGCCCCCUUUCUUUCUCCCACGCACCGAUCACUUCCAACAACUGAAAGUUUAAGCAACUUUCAACUACUUUUUGUAGCUCUGUAAUUUAAACUUCCACUGUGAAAAGAAUAACGGGACAAGUUUAAGCUAAAAGUUCUAUAGUAUAAACUCAAAAGCCAGCAACAGAACUUCAGUUUAACUCCCCAAACCUAUUGCUGUUGUAUCAGGCUCAUGGGCGUCGCAUUAAUUAUUGUAACUUUAAAAAUAGAUCAAUAUAACUUUUUUCAAAUAAACUUUUAGAUAGAAUUUUUUUACAAAAGACACCGUGUUACAGUAAUGAAAGCGUGCUUACAAUGAAAAGUAGAAUUUCCUUUCUAUCCCUUCCUCCUGAACUCAGCCUUAAGCACUGUUCGGGGAAGCUUUCAGUACAGCAAACAACUUGUUUCAGAUAGUGGGCUAACAUGAGUUCAUUGUCACCGCAUCAGAAUUCAGAAUCCUACAAUCUCCUAUUAGCUCUCUACCUUGCAAUUACCUAGGGCUGCCACUUUCUACAACAAAGAUACCCCGCAAUAUGUUGCUGCCACUAAUUUCAAGAAUUGACAAAAUGUUAUCGGGUUGGAUACCACUCUCCUUUGGGGGGGAAGCUGACAAUGUGAUAAAUGCAGUACACUCAGCAAUCCCGACAUAAUACAUGUCAUCUUGUCAAUGGCCAGUUAAAUCAAUUAAAGCAAUAGAUAAAUUGAGAAUGAGAUUUCUUUGGAAAGGUGAAAAACAAUUAAAGGAGGGCAAUGUCUUAUAGUCUGGCAAACAGUUCUAAUGUCAAAGUAAUAGGGAGGCUUAAGAACUAAAGAUCUCAGGACACAAAAUAGCACUACUGCUGAAAUUCAGGAAAAAUAUACUAGGAGAAACAGAACAACCAACAAACAGUUGGUUCAAAGGAAGAUACAUACAUGCAUUAUACCUUCACGGCCAAGAGCGAAUGACACUCCGAUUUGAAAACUAAUCAAGUCCAACGUUGCCCAAUUUGUCCAGGUCACAAAAACUAAACUGGAAAAUGAAAACACAACUCUUUUCUGGAACAACAAUUGGACGACAUCCCAUUUUAUGACCACUUUCCCAGCACUGUUCUCAUUUGCAAUAGACAAAGACGGCAGGUGGAAUCACAAUUCCAAAAUCACUCUUGGACCAUCAAGCUAUACCCUAACCUUUUCCUCGUAAGCACAGACAAAAUCGUAAAAGAUCCAACAAAUUAUAAACUUCGAGUAUAUAUAUCAAAUGUUGACCUAUCGUGGAUGCUAUGGCAUCUAGCUCAAUAUGUUUGGUUAAGAGUUUUACCAAAUAUCUGCAAAAUUUUCCUAUGGCUGGCCUUCAGAGACCGACUGAAUACUAGAACUAACAUGAGAAAAAACAAAUGGGAUGACAACCCACAUUGUGACAUCUGCAUACCAACUGAAACAACAGAUCAUAUAAUCCUCAGAUACAACGCAGCCUCACAAUUAUGGGAAGAACUGCAUUUACUAAACCUAGCCAACAGCUCUACUUCAACACUAGAAUUUUUGGAGUCAAUAAGAGGCCAUAAUGGAAUCAUCCCAGGAAUAGAACCAAUCCGGUUUGCAGCAAGUACCCAUACUCCAUGGAAAGGAAGGAAUGAUAGGAUUUUUGAAGGACAACAACUACAAAUCACAAAUACAACUCAACAAAUAAAAGGAACCUCUUAGCCUGUGAUGCCAUCGAGCCAACAAUGCAACCAAAGCAAAGAUCACCUAAUGGUCUCAGCAGUUUUUUAAGUUCUUUCUAAGUUUCUUGUUUCUUCAUUUUUUUUUGGUACAGCUUCCACUAUUGUAAAUUCACCUCUCCUCACCCCCCCCUCCCCCUCUUUUACCCUGUAACACUUAAUUUCAAUCAAUGAAAUGGCUUGUAGAGCUACCUCUACCUUCUUACGUCAAAAAAAAGAUCUGAAAAGGGUCAGCAUUUCUUGCAGUAAAGUAUCUUUGAUGGUAAAACUUUCAUGGGCAGAAAAAUAAGAAAUAGUCAGAUGAACCCCACAUUCCACAUCCAUUAGAUUGGUUGUCUGCUAUCUCUAUAAGUAUAUACAAAACACUUCUAGUAUCUCCCUGCAUUAAACUCUAACUUCAGUAUCUAACGAUGUCGAUAUUUUGACACAGAACCAGGUAAUGUGACUUUUCUUUCCCAAAAUAUGAUACGGUAAUUUCAAGCAAUGGAGCAUAUAUGAACUCCAACAGCAGCAGCUGCCUCUGCCAAACAGCAAGGGCAAGAGCAAUUACUUAAGAUUUGAAGUGAUGAGUGGUGACCAAAGAACUGUUUAAGAGGCAGAGUUUGUUCUUACUGUCUCUCACUCGUCAUCACUGUCGAAAACAACUAUCUUUCUACGAUUAACAGGUGGCUUCCUUGGUGGAGAUUCAUUGUCAGAGUCGAUCCCUUUGUGCUUGUUAACAUGCUCUUGUUCCUGCAAUAGAAGUUGAAUGGUUACCACAAUCAAAGACAAAAAAGUAAACGGACAGAAGUUUCAGGUAAAAUGUGAAAAAUCUGCCAUAGAAGAGAUUUUGGUAGACGUAAUGAACGACAGUUAAUCGACUGCCAACAGAAUUUAAAAUGAACUAUGAUGACAUAACAGAUAGAAUGUUAUUGCCAAGCAUCAUAAGGCAUUUUCUUAGUCAUCACGUGACACGAUCAAUCAAUGGAAAGUGCUGGAGCAUUGUCAAGAUACAAAUGUCUGGAUGCAAAAGUUGGUUCAAUUGAUGAUUUUAUCAUCCAGUAAGGCAGUUCAUGCUAGAUAUUAUUGCUGGUAUGCUAUUAGGAAUAUCAAACUUCGCAGCUAAUGAUAGCCGGUAACUAGCAGGAAAGAGACAGUGCAAUAUUCCAAAGUAAAAUUCCUUCAAUUAUGCAAGAAAAAUUCUUGUGCAAUUCAUCUGAUUUUCAUUUCCAGGUUAUCAUGAAAUACUUUUACAGCUAACCAAGAGUUUGAAGUCAACAAUAUCUCACCUCAUUAUUUUCAUCGGACAUGGAAUUAUCGCCUAUGACUUCUUCUGGGUCUUCUUCCUCCUCUUCCUCCAGAUCUUCUUCCCUUCCAUUCGUUGGUGAAUUAUCUAUAUCCUUGACAUCUGUUUCAAGCUCUGAUUCCUCCUUUUCACUCUCGGAAUACUCAUUCGCCUGAUGCCUGGGUACAUCAGCAGAUGAAACAGCUUUCCCUACAUUUUCCUGAAAUCAUGAACACGAAAUUAUGAAUAAAUUGGCAUCAGUUUUAUCAAAAUAAGAUGGCUCCAACAAUGACCUUUACAGUAGUUGCACGUCCCUCAGAACGUGCUUCCACCUCCAAGUCAUCCACAAGAUGUGCACGAUCUGGGCCUUGGUGCCAAUUGUAACCAACUCCACGUGCAUCAUCCUACACCCAUCACCGGCGGAGCCAGGGGGUGGUCCGGGUGGUCACCGGACCACCCAAAAAAAUGCUAAUCAGCCCUUAAUAUCCAAAAAAUGAUAAUUUUUAUCGAUUGGUAUUCUCGCAAAUGACGUAACAUGAUCAUCUUUAUUGAACGGGAUGUUUUUUAAAAUGGAUGCAGAAGAUAUAAUGAAUACUUUUAUAGCCAUUAGAAUUUAGAAGUCAUAGACUUGAUAAGAAGAAAUGUAGUAUGGUAAUAUUCUUUAAAUUUUUCUAGGUAUUUAAGCUUCUAUUUUAUUGCGGGGAAGCCAUAUAUGUUUCUUUGAAUCAAAAUUUUACUUAACUACUAAUUUUAUAUGUUUUAAGAUGCUUUAUUCAUAUAUUCUAGUGUACUUGUAGUCUAUUCUAUUAUCUAUACUUGCAUAUAUAUAUGUGUGUGUGUGUGUUAGCAUACUGUGUUUACGAAAAAAAAUCGGUCGGACCACCCAUAUCCUAAAUCCUAGCUUCGCCACUGACACCCAUCAUGGAAUUCCCACGAAAUUACCAUGAGAAUUACCAUCGAUGAUUCAAAACAGAAUCAGAGUUUGCUUGAAACUAGCACCCCCCAGAAAAUGUCCAGCAUAGCAUAUUUUGCAUGUGAGGGAUUAAAAGAGUAAUUUUCCAAGAAGGAUGAGCGGUAAAGACAGCAUAACUGUUUUUAGAAAUGCACAUAUUAUUAUAAGAGGAAUGCUUAACUCCCCAAAAACUGCAGUUCCGACAACUUAAAGUGGAUUGGAAGACUGAGAUUACUUUCAUGAUCAGUAAUAUGAUGAUAUCUUUAAACUUAUUAAGAAAAUUCCUAAUACCAGGCUUCAACCCAUCUACACAUGCGGCCCCAAGACAGUGACUACAUAGCUGCCUGCUAAUUCCCAUGCAGUUGGUUGAACACAUGGCCAUGGCUGUGGGAGGGCACAAUGGUAGCCUCUGCUGUGGCUCAUGGGACCAUGUGAGGCUAUGGAAGCAAUAGUUUUUUACCUUUUCGUUGCAACCACUUAUCGAACAUAUGGUCAUGGCCAUUUAGUGAAUAUGAUUUUUAUAUCUCAAACAGAAAUUUUGCAUGUCUACCUAGUUAAAUGCAAGAGAUCACUCAAGCAUGUAUGGUCAAAUAAGUAUACUUGACAUUUUUUUCUCAAAAACGCAGGAGAGCCAGUAUACUUGACGUUGAUCACUGUUAAAGAAAAAAAAUAAGGAUAGGUAUAUGUAGAUAUCAUUCUCUCACAUGAGGACUUGACGGCAAUAUCACUGAUUGAAAAGAAUUAGGGAUUAAUUAAUUAGACAUAGUGGAUCUAAAUGUUUGGUUUCAGAUCCUAACUGGAUGGGUCCUUAUGUUACUAAUUUGCCCCAUCCCCCAAGAAAUAAUUAAUUUGUUAACUUUGAAGAUUUGUGCAAAAUUAGAGUGGAAGUGGAAGAGUGUGGGAGCACCCUAAUUAUAAAAUUGCCUCUUGAAUGAAAAAACUCAAUACUUAGAGCAUCUCCAAGAGAAUGCUAAUAUUUUGUUAUCCAAAAACUUGUAUUGGAUUCAUCUUAAAAAAAUAUUGGGCAUAAAAAUUACUCACUCCUCCAAUAGAAAUUUAAAAAUGAAUAACUUGUAUUAGGAACCCAUAUUUUUGCCCCAAAUUUAGGAUACAAUUGAGAUAAUUUUAGGCAUGAGUAAAUAUUAGGAAUGUAUUUGGUAACCUGUUGGAGAUAUAUUUUCUAGUCCAAUUCCCAAAAUUUGGUUUUAGAGAUCAAUUUUAGACAUCUCUUGGAGAUGCUCUAAGGCAAGAAACUAACCUCAUCUAAUGCAUCUUCCAGAAAAACAGGGGUAAGUUUCUGCUUUUGAUAUUUGCGCUUCACCUGUUCUCUUUUUCGUUGAAGACUUGAAUUAGCUCGAAUAUUUUCUUCUUCAGCCUGUGUAUAUCAUAUAUCAGUAAAAAGCUAAAACUUCAUCCAAGUCUUUCCUUCAAAAAAUAUUCAUCCCAAGUCAAAAUAGACAAUUUUUACAUAAUGAGAAGAGCAAUAUCACAAUGAUUUGCAUGUGUUUGAUGAUGAAAUCAUCGAGGCAAUCCCAAUACGACAUAUAAUAUGUAAGCCCAAAAAAAGGACCAUGAAUUUAAAUUAUGCACCAUAAAGAAACCCACCGGUACAGACAUUUUUUUUUAGUAUAUUGUUCCUUCAAGUACAUAAGCACAUACCCCCACCCCCCAUAAAAAGAGAGAUAAGUUUGCCUGGCAGGCAGUGUAGUCAUCACGUACAUAGACGUCCCACACCUAAACAUUAGCCGGUAGCCACAAUUUACGGUUGGAGAUGGAUGAACAUUAAGUUGGAGGUAUACAUUCUGAUCAAAUCAACUAGUUAGAAUAACCAGUGAUUGUUGCUACAAAUCAUGUAAGUGAUGUUUAGUGCAAGUCCUAAAGAAAGUAAGCUGUAAGCUUACAGGAACAUAAAUUGAUACAUACUAUUGAGGUGCUGUGUACAUAUAACAGAACCUUUUAUUACCUUUUCUUUUUCUUCCUUCACCUUCUCAGGAUCUUUUUCAUCAAUCCAUGUUUGCAUCUUAAUUGUUUUCUUGUUUUGAGAAUUAACAAGAGCAGUUAAUGAGCGAUGGGAUCUUGAGGACAGUGAAGAAGGCAUACAUCUCAUCUUCUGUAAAAGCCUUCCUUGUGAUUGCAUAAGCCCCUGAGGAAGAAGUCGGUUGUGAAUUAUGAACAUGAUUGAUCACAGUGAUGAGAUUAUAUAAAAGUGCAUAGAUGAAAUAAUUGCCUUUCCAUUCCUCAGAAACAGGUGGGAAUUAUCAUGAUUUGACUCAUUUACAGACAUAUCAAGAACUUCAUUGCCGAUCAGCAGUUGCAUACUUCCAUCUUUCCACUUUACAAAACGUGCAUUGCUUUCAUACUGCAAGAAAUAAAUGCUUAAAAACUCAACAAUGAUUGAGAAGAAUAACAGUCAUGAGCCAUUACAGCUUAUACAGAGCAUCAAUGAGAUGCAAGAGCACUGAUAUCUUAAUUCUCACAUACAAACUUGAAUGAUACUAGAACAUAAAAUCUGACAGCUUGCAAUGCCUAAGAAAAGUCAUAAAAUUGUUUUCUCCUAAGAUAUAAAUCCCAUAGUAAAAACGAUAAAAAAUGUCAUAGUGAUAGAGUGCAGAGAACAGUGGGUGCAAUCCACUAGCCACUUUAAUGAGUUAGACAGCUCCCAAAGAAAGUGAAAGUGUUUAUAAGGAAGAAGAAACUCCAAAACAUUACAUAAAUAAUAUGACAAGAAAAUUUGACUCACAGAUUCAGUGCCAUCAUCAUUCUUAGAAAUUCUCCAGCGGACAACAUUAUCCUUCAACUGUAUCUUUUUCCUUCCCCCAGAUUCAUCUGUCAUGGAAGCAUCCUCUUCCACAUAUGUUUCAGGAUCAAAAGGUUUUGGAUUUACCCCCAUAAUAUUUGAAACCUUGAUCACAUUCAUCUAGAAAAAUGAAACCAGUCAGACACAGAAAUCUAAUUGUGCAAUGCGCCAAAAAAAACCACAUGAGCUCAUAGAACAGGUAUUAUUGCUAAUUAUGAGAAACUUUGGAGUUAUGACAGAGAACUAUAAGAUUACAUUUGUUCAAACAUUAUUGUUUCAGAAGCGAGAAGCAUGGAAUCAAUUUUUUUUAUCCUUGGUCAACAACAGAACUACUCCCUACGUUUUUGAAUAAUCGACACUCUUGAACAAGACAUGCAUACCAAGGAAACUGUGUUUUUAAUCUAAAGUGAUCAGAAUACUACCUCAGUAGUAUCUCACACAUGAAUUUAGGUGGAAAAGAAAAGGGCAUGCAUUGAGGUUAAUGGAAAAAAAAAGGUCUUGGGAAGCAUGGAGUGCCAAGUAUUUGAAACCAAGAAGAUUGUUCUAUAGAGCCAAUUGUUCGAUAAUGGAGGGAGUAUCUUCAUAGAUAUGCAUUGAUUGGACACAAAUAUGGGACAGUAAUGUAGUUAGAAAUGCUAAGCCUGGUAGCAAAAUACUUGGUGAAAGAUAUAGUUUACUGCUAAGUGUGUCCUAAUAUUACAGAAACUCACUCUAUCAGGUUGACCAGGUGGCAGCAUAUGUGGAACCACCAAGUUCAGCGGAGGACCAAGUGGCUUAUCUUUCAUUUGAUGUUCAAUAUUUCCUUCCAGUUCAUAAUGCUUAUCUUCAUGAAGCAUGCCCUCUGACUGCAAUUCCUCAUAGUGGCCUUCAUCAUUCAUAAGUGAUCCCUGCAAAGAUGCAGGAUUUGUUCCUACGUUAAGUGAUUCCCAAGGGCUUAAAACACAUAUGGAAACAGUGAAAUAAAUUUCCCUAAAAGAUUAGUACAAACAUAGAUAUACUGCCUAUUCAUGCGAAGAAUAAUCAUGCAGAAAAAGAAGUGCCAGACCAGAUAAAACAACUCUAUUUACCAGAAACAAGAAUAGUGCUUCCUCUAUUAAAAAAUGAUGAGGAUGGCUGACAUCAAACCUUUAAAACUUCCACUACAAAUAUCUCGUUGGAUUUUCUUUUAGAUCACAUAAUUAAAUCAUUUGAUACAUCAAGGCUUUUCUUGAAAAAUGCUUAGCAGCCAAAUUUGUUGUUUCUCAAUACUGUGCAAUGUUAAAAGGGUGACCUGUUUGUCACUGGAUGGUGUAAUACUCCUCUCUCGUUUUUAAAUUAUAUGCCAAGGCACAUGGAACCGGUGAUUAGGAGAACAUGUAUUGCUGACACUCCAAUAUCAUCUCAAUACACAUAAAAAUAAACAAAAACUGACAUAAAUAGAGCAAAACGUUACACACAGAAUAGAUAAGUUAAGAAGUUAAUUCAUUUGUUGUCUCACAUGAGCAUCUUCAUUGUCAUCUUGAGCACCAUAUGGAGCAAACUCAUCUUCAUCAUCAUUACCAAAAACAUUAUGGACAACUUCAUGGUCUUUGUAAUCCUCUAUUGACCUGAAGCAGGAUUAGAUGUCAGGUGUUACUGCACUACAGCAAAGGUUGGGAAGGAUGAAAAGUCAAGACACUGGAUAAAAUAGGUGAAUUCUGUUGUCAGCAGAAGAUGAUUAUCACUCGAAUAAUCAACUCGAAAAUGACAGAUGCUAGCUUUCAUAUUAUAUUGCAUGAUACUCCAGUAGUCAUAAGACAUUAAGACCCUCAGAAUUAGAGGCAGCACACCUUAUUUCGUUGGUUACUGUUCUCUUGACAUGGUUUCCCUCUACAGUAGUCACGCCUUUUCUGUGACCUUGUGUACUCUGAUUGUCAAGUUCCGUUAUCAUGAGUAUCACCGUCAAUUUCCUGAGCCAUGCGACCUUGUGUACUCUGAUUGCCAAGUUCCGUAUCAUGAGCAUCACUCUCAAUUUCCUGAGCCAUGCCACCUGACCCUUGUCUUUCACCCUGCACUUCCUCCUAUACGAUUACAUAAGUGGUUCGCAUUACAAUACUGUAUUGCGGGCCAAAUACCAUGUUAACCAAAUGAAUACAGCACAUGAGGAUGAGGAAUAAGAUCAGUCAGAAACAUAACAUGGCAAGCAAUCAGAAUGACUAGCAGUGUAGCACCAUUAUCAACAAAAGCACAACAAAUCAACUCAGGGAGUGUCCUUUUGCAAAGUCCUCAGGUAAUCUGGGACACGGUGCCGGAAUUAACGCAGAACAUCAGCUUAGAAUUCCCUGCAAGUGGCACAUGCUCCAAAUGCCAAAGCUCCAACUCUGCUCAGAGUUUCAUAAUAUAAGCUCCCAGGAUAAUUAAUCACAGAUCUUAUGGUUUGAGAAUUAAUACAGCGUAAGCGUCAUGGGGUAGUACAUCAAUGAUACCCACAUCAAAAAAUCCAUAAACUAUCUAUAGAUGUUCCCUCGAGGAAACAGCAACCACUCUAGCGGUCUAGCCUCCAAAACCCAUUGACGGUGUCGUACUUAGAAAAAAACUUCACUACUUGAUGACGCGUCGAUAGUUUCAAUACAGUGUAAAAUUGUGCCCAAACGCAAGCAAAGCGCGACAACUAUACCGCAGCAAACCCAGCGAACAAAACCCCAAACCGCAAGCACAUUUCCGGAAAUUUCUAGAACACCUCAGAGGGCGGAGACCAUUUCCGUGCUCUAAGGCAUAAACCCUAAACCCCAAGCCAAGCAGUAAACAAGCCGAGAGGUCACGGGGCGGGAGGUUCAUGUUACCCAUUCGUCGCCGUCGUGGCCCUUGUCCAACUCGUGCUCGUCCUCCGCGGCCGCGGGGGGCGGGGAGAGGCGGUUCUGCUGCUGCUCCCCACCGCCCCCACCACCGGGACCGCGAUCACCGCCACUCGCACCGGUAUCGUCGUCGUCCGCCUGGUCCACCUCCUCCUCCACCACCUUCUCCUCGGACUCGUUCUCGUCGCCGAAGAUGUUCUGCAUCAUCUGGUUCCGCUUCUCGUCCACGUCCCCGCUCCCCGUGCCACAUCCGUCCGCCAUGACCCCCUCCCCCUCGUCCUCCCGCUGCCACCCUCCUUUCCGGCGCGAGGAAGCGAAGACCGCCGGAGCCGCGCUCGCUGGGGUUUCGGGUGGCUGCACACUGGCACCGGCACGACGGCGGGCGGAGCCCGGCGAGGUGGGUAGUAGUGUAGCAUUUAAAGUUGAGACCACCCGGAGUACGUGGCAGGCGGCAGCGUCGCGUAGCGGUAGGGGUGGGGCCACACUACCACGUUGUUACUGGCUGACGUGGCACACAGGUCAGACGUGGUUUCCUACGGCGGUGAUCGGUUUGCCACGAUCCGACUCUUCUGGUUACUUUUGGUCUAAGAUGGAUAAAAUAUCAUCUGAUUUUGAUAGUUACUUAUGGUAUAAAAGGUGAAAUUAACUGUUAGAAAACUUAAGAUCUCUACAUAAAUAUGGUGAUAAAUUUAAAUAUAUAAUUUUUUAAAAAUAUAUCAUUUUGAUAGUUCAAAAGUGCGUUAGCAAAAAUUAAGGAAUAAUUUAGGGUAAAAGGACGUAACAUUAGUUCUCUUUUUCUAGUUCAUUCCUUUUCCACCAAGGUGGAUCUAGGGUGAUUGUUUGUUUUCUUAAUAAAAAACCAAAUGGUAUAUUACAAACAAAAAAUAAUUUGUGAAUAAAAAUUUUAUAUAUGUAUUCUUAGCUUAUCUAAAACUAAAACCGGUAAAUAAAUCACGGUGAAAACCCUUAAAAUUAAUUUUAAAUUUAAGGUUAGAAAUUUAAAUUUUAGAUUAUAAGCAACACAAAGAUGAAAGGUGGACAUUUUCAGAAAUUAAGAAUGGUUGAUGUAUUGUUUCGAUAUGAAAUUCAAAUUGUAGGUAGCAAAGUUGGGAGUUUGAAUUCUACAGCUGAUGACAUAGGUGGAGCUAGAUCCUGGGCUGGUAUGGUGGUCGUCCUGCUGCGAAUAGAAACGACAAAAAACAAAAGUGAAAAUUAUCCAGUUUACGAUAAAUUAUUCAGUUCUAAGUUUACUUGAUACUAUAAAGAAAUAUAAAGAAACAUGAAAAAGGCAGAGCUCCUGCCGGUAGCUUUAAAAAAUACUAUAAAGAAAAAUACUAUAAAGAAACAUAUUAAGGCUUCAUUUGAAGAGUACAGUUCAUGUCUUUUCGCUUACCAAAUUCUGAAGUUGAUUUAAAGAUUUUUCUCAUCCUAAUUUAUCUUUUAGCAUUUACUUUUAAAUUACAAGAAUACAUAUAUAAAAAUUUUAUUCAUAAAUUAGUUUUUGUCUAUAGAUAUAUCAUUUGGUCAACCAAUACCCCUAUACAAAUUUCAUGGAAAUCAGCUCGCACAUGGAAAUACAAACGGAUAAUUCUUAUUCCCUCCAUUCUAUGUUAUAAAACUUCUUAUCUGGAUUUACAUGUAUGUUAAUAAAUCUAAACACAUACCAAUCAUACACAUUAAUAGAUGGGUGAAUCUAAGCAAACUAAAAAGGCUAGAGUACCACAUUCCAAUUGGGAGUUAAACAUUGAUCAGUUCAGUUCAGUUCCCGUACGAAACUAUGCACGAAGAAUUUUUACUACAUUCCAAUCGGGAGCAGAACAUUAAUCAUAGAUACAAUUGGGUGGUCCAACAAACAAGUUGGAGUUCCGAAUCAGUAAGGUUUUCUGCAAAGUGACUUAGCGUCACCAAUUUUGCUUUCAUACUUGUGCACCCGUACAAAUAUAUGGACAAGAAAAUUGAAUAAUUCACACUCCAGCUACCCGCUGGACAUACCAUUAUCAAGGUAAAAGAAAGAAGAAUAGAAAAAAACAAGUACAUCCUGAAUUAGUAGAUAUUGCUAUCAGCCGUAGUGCCUGUUUCAUUUAGUAAGCAUACUUUUCGCAAAAGGGCAUCACCAUGCUCCCACGCCUUGUCCCAGAAUAUACAAGAAUCAAGAUCUAUAAUCUCCUAGUAGGAGAAGGGGAUGGUAGUACGUGCUAUAGUUAAUAUGUUCCUGAACAGCCCGGCUUUACAACAUUGCACGGGCAGCGGAGGACAGGGGAGAACAGGGCUAUAAUUGUUAGUGACUGAGCAACUCUAGUUCAGAAGGCGACAACGAACGCUACCCAGCAAGUCCACUGGCACUUCAACAGCCUCAGCAUGCUUCCGGAUGGUUGAUCUGCAGGGGUUGGGUCUAGGAUUCGAGAUACCAUCCUCAUGCAAUCUAGAGUAUCUAUGCAACUUUAUAAAAUGAUGGAGAAUGGACCACCGCUCCAAGUCCCGUGUCUCAGAUGUCAAAUCUUGAAAUGUUGUUGCCCUCUCAGCUCUGGAAUACACAGAGAAGGCCUAUAAGCAAUUUUGGCAAGUGCGAGAGGUGUUGAAAACUAGAGGAUAUUAUGCAAUAAAUUGCCAAUGCAAUUUUGGAAUUAUCUAAAAGCGGGGCAAGGUCUACAGCUGGUCAAGAUGAAUGACAAGGUUGACAGUCAUUAUAAAAAAUUAUGUACCUUGAGAAGGACCUUUGCAGCUCAUCAAACCUCAUGGUGAAUGUUUCCAGAACUUCAGGUAUGAUUUUAUCUUUUUUAUUUCCAGAAGUGCCAGUUUGGUUCUGUAGCCUGGCCAAAUACCACAAGACUCGAGAUUAAUGCAAGAUGGGAGUAGUGCCAAAGCUUGAUGCAAGAGAUGCACAUCUGGUCAUGACUUAUAUAUAAUUCCUCAGUAAGAAAUUUGUCAUCUUGGACAUUGAUAUGGUAUCUAAAAUACAAUAUUAAUCAAAGAUCUCAAUUUAGACCCCGGCGAAAAGAUCUCAAUUUAGAGUAUAUUUGUAAACUCUAACAAAUAACCUUAUGGAAGCAUUUUUUGAGAUGAAUCUAAAGAUAUGGUUUCCACAAAUCCAUUCUAACUAUUAAAGAAGAUAAUGGAUCUCAAUUUAUCAAAGUUUGACCAAUGGUAUGUCCAAAACAACAGGCAUUCGUAACUGGAGGAAGUAACUAUAACCUGUUACGGUUCACUAAAAUUCCUUAGUCCUUACUUAUCUAGAUUUGUACGUAAAACUAACAUCUUCACUUGUACUCACUCGUUUCAUAAUGUAAGACUUUCUAACCUUGUCUAGAUUCAUAUGGAUGCUAAUGAAUCUAGACAUAUAUAUAAAUUAUAUACAUUCAUUAAUUAAUGAAUUUAGACAAGGCUAGAAAGUCUUACAAUAUAAAACGGAGGUAGUAGCUCUUAAGUUAAAACAGGGAUGAAAAAUUGAACAAAAACCUUACAUGAAGUUGUUUGCCUUGCUGAUAGAAGAUACAACUGGAUUAAAUGCAUCAGAAAGGGCCAGUUGAGAAGUGUGGUAUACGAUGGUUUCACCAGAAUUAAUAGCAUUUGCUGCAAGAAGUCUAUGUGGAAGAGCAGGAAGUAUGCACUGAAUCAGGCUAGUCGUCAGAGCAAGUCUUUUCUGAGCUCGAGACACAAAGGUGCUAUCUUUUGCCGUUGUAUUUUCAGCAUCUACCUGGUAUGGAUAAUAAGCUUGUCAGUCAAGUAAAACGAUGAAGCACAAUAGAAAGGGUUUUUAUACAGUUUGAAAGAAAAAGAUAUAUAACCUUUUCAACCAAUCUCCUGGUAGCAUGAGCCCAAUCCAAUUCAGGCGUUCUGCAGCGAGAAAUACAAUAGCCAUUAUUAGCCCGUCCAAAUUGCGUAUGUCGAGCCAAAAAGAAUUGCAUAGAUAUUAAUCAUACAUCAGCUAGAACAAAUAUAUGUCAACAAAAGCAAAUUCUACUAAAAUGCCAUGAUGCAUUAUUGGUUCUCUAAUUCAAAAUCAUCACCUUCUAUGAUGCAUCUUGCAACACCCAGACAUGACUUGUGCCUGCCACGAUAAAAGACUAGUUGAUCUUUUCCGCUUUUUUUCCGGUGAAACUAGCUUGCCAUCAAACUUGUUAGUUGGUAAACCACUGGAGUGUGAGGCUUUAUUCAGUGGGUGUAGGAUUCUUUUCUGAUUACCAACGAUCUGGCUAUAAUCAUUGCAUUGGUAUUCAGCAGUUGUACUACAAAUAUUCUCAGAAACAUUUUGUUCAAAAGAUUUAGGGGAAAUGAUGCCCUUCCUUUCUGAAUUAUCAAGCUCCAAGUAAUUCUGUGUGGAAUUGUAUGCUCCAAUUAGCUCGACCUUCUUAUGGUCUGUUCCUCUGAUAAAUGAUGAGUUGGGAUCAUUGGACAAGCUCGGAGAAGGUAGAACAUGAGUAGUAUGUGUCACAGGCAGCUCCAUUUGUGAAUGCGCAGUACGGUUUGAAGAACACACUCCAAGUGAGCUAUUUUCAGUCAUGUCACACCGUCCUUUCCAUACAUCAUUGGUUGCCACUCUUCCAUCAUGGCAUAUAUAUGUCCUUUUUAGACUAGAUUGGCCAUCCAAAAUAUUUGUGAACUCAAGAACAGGAUUAGCAACAUCAUCAAUCAAUUCAUACCUAGUACCACAAGAGGCAGUUUGUUGCUCAUGCUGUAAAGUAUGGUCAACCGUGAGCAAGUGAUCUUCACCACUUUCCCCCAGGCUAUUCAUUGAAUUGGGCCCACACAAAGGUAAAGAUGAAACAUAACUUGAUGUUGUUUCCUGUCGAGAUGCUGAAGUGCAAAAUAGACCAAUUACUUGAGAAGUAGAAUGAAAUUGUUGGUGGCAAUAAGAUCCAUUAUAUAUAGCUGACUCACGGGGCCCAGCUUGCAUAUAAGGAGCAGUAUUGUUGAAGCAUGAGACAGAAACACUUUCCUCUAAUUUAUCUUUUUUGUCAACGUCAACAAAACUUUCACUGCAGUUCAUUACAUUCAGUUUAUCAGAAAUCCAAAAAUACAAAAUACAGCUGUGCAUAAUUUUCAGAACAAUUCUAAUUCUAUGGAAGAAAGCCCACAGAUUUCAACUUUAAACUGGAAAAUGAAAUUGUGAGUUUAUCACAGCAAUGAUAUAAUGAGAUUGCAGAUUGGGUUUACCUUUUCUGGAAUAUUUCAUAUGUUUGUGAAAAAGCAUCACUUGGUGCACUAAAUGAAUUUAGAAGUGAAUCAAUUUCCAUUUGCUCUUCAGAUUCAUACAGGCCAUGUAGCUUUUCCUUGCCACUACCGUCAGAUCCAUUUAUAUUGAUUACAGAUGAAUUAAACUGUCCACGCAAUACUUUAUUCUGCCUAUGCUGGGUAGUCGGCAUCAAACCAGAAGAUUGUUCAUUACCAGGAUAUGUUCCCCAUUCAGCAGAAUGCAUUUUAUCUCGAUGUUGACAACUAUGGCUUCUUGUUGCCACUUUAUCUUGGGACACUCUGAGCUUAGAAGAGGGAUUGUCUUGCUCAAUAUUAUUCAUAUCAUGUGGUAGGUCAACAAAAUUUUGUAAAUUACUAACAGUGCUGGAACUUGUGAAUGUGGCAUCAGCAUCUCCAGGGAAGGGCAAAAAAUUUGAGGUAAACGAUGGACUUGUUAAACAGCCAUUGUCCCAGAUAACUUGAUUUUGCAAGGUAUUCCCACCUGAGAACUCUGUAUUACUGAAAGUCAAGUCGCUGCAAUCUUCAUUGAGUCCAUUAUUACUAUUAGACACUUCUAAAGAUUCUUGCAUAAGAGCAGUCCAACUACAGUCCCUUGUAUCUGAAAUGUGGUUAUUUCUUUGCAAAGGGCUAAUAUAUGGAUAACUUGCAGGUAUGGUGCUACAGCUACUUCCAUAUGAGAUUGUCCUAUCGUCGUAACCAUCAGUAUCAUAUGAAGUUAUUUCUUCCACAUGAUCAAGACAGGACGCAUUAGAAGGAAUGCUGCGGUGGGUGAUGUCUAGGUUAUCAUUUUGCAUCUGCAUUCCUUCAAAUUGUCCAGGCCGUAGAGUACUAAAAAAGUGGUCAAAUUGAUGACAUUCUCCCAAUGCAGCAGAAGCACUAUUCAGAAUAAACUCAGGGGUUGCUGCUGAAAAGGUUUUUUCUCCAAAGAUCGGUCCAGAAACUGAAUAUCCAUGUUGUAAAGCUCGGUUUGAGAAUUCAUAAUUAUCAUCUUGUUGAAAACCAGAUGUACUGCAGUUGACUGACAAAUCUUUUAUACCAGAUUCAUUUACUUUUGCCAACAUUUCGGCACACGCACUAUACCAGGGAUGCAAUAACAAAUUCGCUGGUCCCCUGAAACUUGAAACAGUAGUGUUCUUAAUUUUACAGCAUGCUACAGUACUGAUAAAGCUGUCAUAGCCCCAAAAAUGCUAGUGGGUAUUGAGUAGGGCUUACAGUCCUAACAAGUAAGAUCAUGCUUUGAUCAUUUAAAUAUCUAACUGCGUGCAAUAAGGCGUGCCAUAGACAGCCUAAUCAUUGUAAGCAUUUUUUGAUUGAUCAUGUUCUUUUUUCUCUUCUAACAACUAGCCAAUGAACAUUUAUGGCGUGGAAGCCCAACUGUUAAUGGUAUUAUUAUUGUAUCUUGGAGCCUAAAGCGUGUUAUGACUCUGUCCCACAAAGACUUCACUUCUAGCGUUCAGAAUUUGUCCCGGAAAGACUUCAUCUCUAGGGUUUACAAAUCACAACCAAUCAAGCUAAGGCAUGCACACUUUAUUGGAGUCUAGGAAAUAAAACCAAGAGUAUUAGUGAGAGGCACCAUAGUGGCAUGCACAUUUGAUUGGAGUCUACGAAAUACUCCCUGUGUACUAAUAAAAAAUAAAUUUCUGAGGAUGAAUAUGGAAUUUAUCCUUAGAAUUUCAUUUUUUUUCUGGGAUGGAGGGAGUACAACCACGAGUAUUAGUGAGGGGAACCAUAGUUAUAUCUUUUGCCGGGUUGGCCGAGAAAACAGCCAACCAAAUUUCAUUAAGAUCGAAAAGGGAAUGUACAAGCAUACUUAUAUCUUCCCACUACUAAUUUGUCUAAGAAUUGUUAGAAACGAAACCUUUAUGGGAUGAGGUACAUCUUAAUUUAAGGGAGAACAAAUGAGGACGCACAGCUAUUUGACACCCUUAAAAGAGUGAUAAAUAUUCGGUAUUCCCUUCAAUUUAUUACCAUUUGAAUAAACUGCUUGACUUGUGUACCAUAGCAGACGCCCAUGGGCACCAAGGCACAUCUCUUCAAAUCACAUGCAUUACAUGCCAUGUAUAUCUUAAUGGCAUUGUUUGGACCAACUAAAAUCACAUUGAACCACUAAAUUAUAGAAUGUACAGUAAAUUGUAAGCUACCAUUCAGCAUCUUAACAAGGCAAUGCUACCGACAGUCCUACAAAAAUAAUGGCUCCCGAUCAUGAAUUAUUGCCAGUGAACCUUCACGCAGCCAGUUAGCUAGCAACAGGAAAUAAAGAGAUUUUAAGUGACAUCUCAAAGCUACUACAGUACUACCAGAACUGAACUGAAGGCAGCACGACCAUGCAACAGUUAAUGCCUUAUGUUGAAACUUAAAACCCCCAAAACCCCAAGCUCAAUAUGAAUCCAAUUAAACCCCCAAAACUACUUGAGCUGAUCAUAAAUACAGGCACACCCAGUGCAAUUAGCAGCUUAGCACUAGAAAACCUACUUAAAUUUCAGAGCGCAGCCUAACAGCUCAAACAGCCAGAAAGGCUAAGCUCCCGAAACAAGCGUGCGAGCCAGCCAAUCACAGGGCGCAUACCGGAUACGCGGCGGCGGAGGCGACGAGGCACGGCGCCCGGUGCUACUCCGAGCUCCCCCGCGAUCCCUCCGCGCCGCGGCAAGCUCAGUGAGUUAGGGUUUUUGGAGGUGGCGAGCGAGAGCAAGCGAGAGAGGAGUGGACGAGUAGGCGACAAAAGAAAAAGAAAAAAAGCAGCAGCAGCAGCAGCAGCAGAGGGGACGGAGGCGACGAGACGACCCGGUGUGAACUCGUGCGCCGCUUUGACUUUUCAGUGCUCGGGCCGAAGCGGUGGGCCCAGCCCGUGGGCCCGUGGGCCGGCCCAAGCCGAUUAACUAUAAAAUUAUUAGAGAUUUUUUUUCCCCCAUCCUUCGGUUUCUGGAGAUCCUCGCUUUUUUUUCGAAUCGGGGAGGGGAGAGAGAGGAGAGAUGAAGGAGGCGGCCUCGUCGGGGGGCGGGAGCGCCGGGGGAAGCGACCCGCGGAUGGCGUCGACGGCGAGGCCGUACACGCCGCCGAAGCUGUCGCCGCAGGACCUGCCCAUCGACUACGCGGGGUUCCUCGCCGUCGUCUUCGGCGUCGUCGGCGUCAUGCUCCGGGUACGCAUCGAUCCCGUCUAAGCGUAACACCGUGCGCCAGGUAGAUCUGCGCGAGAGGCUGCUAGAUCCGUGUGUCCCGCCCUUUGUGAGUUUUGUGGUUGCCAAGUAAUCGGCGGUGAUGGUGUUCUGCUGUGUUGUUUUAGUAGGUCUGGGGCUGCUAUUUGGCUCAGUUGUUGUUGGAUUUGGUUAAAAUUAGCUUGCUACUACUUGUUUGCAGUACAAGGUGUGCUCAUGGAUCGCGAUCAUCUUCUGUGCACAGUCUCUGGCGAACAUGAAGAACUUCGAGAAUGAUCUCAAGCAGUUGUCCAUGGCUUUCAUGUGAGUUCCUUUCACAGAUUUGGGUUUAUGCACUAAAUUAGGGGUUUAGCCACCAAGUAAUAAAUAUCAAAUACUACUCGAAUUUCAAAUCUAGGGAAACGUGAAGCCGAGUUUGUUUUUUCAGUAUGCUAAUUGAUAGUCUGUAUUCGACUAGAGUCUAGAAGUGAACCAGAAUAUGUAUAGUCAAUAACUUAAUUAGUACUUGUAUGCGCUCCGGUUUCUCAUCAUAUGAUGUUUAUGUUUGUUCAUUUUGCCAAAUUUAAAAGUGGGCUGUCUUUGCAUUGUGAAGGAACAGUUAUCAACAUCCCACCAGUAGAUCCCCAAGUGGAAAUUAUGCACCCAUCUUGUAUUAUGAAGGCCGUUUCUAACUUCUGUUGUCAUCAGUCCAUAGAACUUACAAGAUUAUCCUGGGCUAGUGAUCUAAUGCUGUACAAUUAGCUAUGGUCAUUAUUUUCUCACUCUUUGUGCAUAAUUGGUCUGUCAUGGAGUUUGUAACGUUAGUUUGGUAAAAGCUAAAUAAGCAGUAGGAGCUACUUUUCAAACUUUGAAGGUUUUGCCUGUACUAAGAUUUGCUUAUUUGCUCUGUAAGUCCAUAGAAAAGCAUACUAUAGUUUCCUAGUCCAUGGUUGAUGAGAUACCAUUGCUUAUCAAGCAAUAAUUCAAAGGGUUAAGUCUGAUUUAACCCUCUCAGCUAUCGUAAAAGUAUGUUUUACCCCCUUAAUUCUAAUACCAGACACUGAACACCCUCCAACUGACAAACUACCCCCUUCUCUAAAUUGGGUGGUUUUCACUUACGUGAUGUCUAUGUGGCACCUACAUGACAGCUGACAGCACAAUCAGCUAAAAUAAAUGGUUUAUAAAGAUUCAUGGACCCACCUGUCAUUCUCCAUAGCAACCUUCUUCCUUCUCCCAUUCUUCUUUCUCUGUGUUCUCUUAUCUGUGUUCUUACAGGAACAAGAGCAACCAUGAACCAUCCAAACUGUGUGCGCCACCGCAGCAGUUGCAUAUGUAUGACUGGCACCUGACACAUGACACAUGACUGAUUGUUUCCCAAUCGAUCUCUCUGUUGAGCUGCUGCCUUAACAGUUGGAGCUACUGCUGCACACGGCAGGAGCUUGCUGGUUGUCCAGGCCCUACGAGGGAGGCCGAGGUUGAGGCAUUAGGGUCAUGGCAGAUCCAUGUGCCAUCAUUUCCAAGGUUGCAGGAGGAGAGGGGAGGAUAAGGUGAUAUAGGCUGACAGAUUGUUCUGUUUCCUGUUGGACACCACAUAAGCCGUAAAACCACAACCACAAUGCAUUGAGCAGGUGCGCGCGGGGGUGAGGGAGGGUAAUUUGUCUGGUUUAAAGGGUUGGGGAAUGUCUAUAGUUAAGUUUGGGGGGGGGGGGGGGGGGNNNNNNNNNNNNNNNNNNNNNNNNNCUUGUAUGGAGGGGGGGGGGGGGGGGGGGUAAAUCAGACUUAGGAUGACAUUUUUUCCCCGACAGUUCUUAAACCUUACCAACCUUCUUUUGGGACUUGUGUUCUUCUUUGUCACUGUUGAAAUAUUCUAACUCUUCAUUACUGCUGAAAUAAUCUAACUUUUGAAUUUGGCAUAGGUAUAAUUAUAGGUAAAAUACUGAUAUGCUUGGUUAAUUGGAGUUAAAAACGAAAUGCAUUAUUAAAACAACGAUAAAGGAAAGUAACUAUCAAAUUAACCAGAUAUAUCUAUAAUAAGGGGCCUAUACCACCUUUCCUUGUUUGCCACUGUAACUUUUGUUUCAACUAUAUUUUUCUCAGUGGUAUCUUUUCAGAAAGAGAUCACCAUCUACUAGACUGCUCAUCUCAAAAUAAAAUCUCUAAUACUCUAACAUGAUCAUGUUAUGUCAUGUUUUAUUGAACAAAUUGCAUUAGCAGAAGUAUUACCUAUUUCUCCAAUGUCAUCCUAUGUCAACAAAAGAUUGAUCCUGUUUUUAUUAGCGAGGAACAAGAAGUUGUUAAGAAAAUAAACUUCCUCAUGGAUUUAAGUUGCCUUCUUCUGUCAACUAUUGGUCUUUGAUUUCCUUUUGAGUUAUCAAAUGCUUUAUUUAUUUAUGAAAGUUAGAAUGGUUAAUUCUCUAUGUCACCAGAUUUUUGACUAGAAGAAACUCACCAAGAAUGUGAUAUUGCCAGGUUUGCUGUUAUGGGUUUGGUGACGAACUAUCUUGGCCCACCUCGUCCAGGCAGUACAAAGCGCUAAUCUGGAUGCACGAUACGGAUUGUAUGAGAUAUCACUUGUAUUUUGAAGCUCCAGAGGUUAUUGGCAGCUUACAUCUCUGAAUUUUAUCUGAGCAUGCAUCAAUUAUACUUACUCAAAUCAUUAGAGGACAUGAAUAUAUAUGAUGCUCGAUAAUUUAAUUUUGCGGUACUAGUUCUUCUGGGUGUUAUUUUCUUCUAGAUUUCUCUCUCUCUCUCUCUCUCUCUCUCUCACACACACACAUUUUAGAGCGAUGUCUACAUCAAGCAAAUUGAUCGGUGCUCCUUGAGCUCUGGAUUUUAUUUCUGUUUUGUUUUACUGGAUGAACAGUCACUUUCUAAAGCAUGUAUGCUCGAGAGUUGAGAAUAAAGUGCUGCAUGUAGUGACAACCAGCUUCUGAUUGAUUUGUUGGUUUUUUUAAAAAAAAAUGUUCAAGUAUCGGUUGUACUUCGUCCACAAAUAUGAGUAUUUCUAUCAUUUGUAAUUUAUCCACAAAUAGGGCCUUUUACAGCCUCAUCUUUCUCUUCUGCCUUAAGUUUGCAGUUGAGUUUGAGAUUUAUUUCAUCGUAGUUUAUUUUCAGUUUUUUCUUUUAGAUCACUAAAAACACAUAUAUAAAAAAUUUAUUCAUAUAUUAGUUUUUUUUACAAAUAUGUCAUUUUUUUUUUCAAAAAAAAAAAAAACCCCCCCCCCCCCCCCCCCCACACACACACACAACAAAUAUUAACUUCUCUUUCCAUUUUAACCACAACCACCCUUCAUUUGACGGGGGAUAUCAAUAAUUUUUGCCUCCAUCCUUUCUCUCUCUAAAAAAAUAUCUUAAAAUGCUUGUAUUUAUGUAUGGAGGGAAUGGGAUCUUAUCCAUAAUUCAUUGAGAGGCAUCACCAAAUUUAAAAAAAGAAAUAAUGAUAAGAUCACAAGAUAUGACUGCGAAUUGACAUUUGUGGUGCCUGUCUUUCUUCUUUCCUUCUUCAGUUUCUUGGUAGGAAGUUGAUCAGGGCAUUCACAAUUAACGAAUAAAGUGAUCCUUAUAGUUUUUCAUGGCUUGGUUCACUGUUGUGGAAGUGGUUCAUAGCGACAUAUAGUAUAUCAUAAGAUCAGCUAUUUAUAUUCAUUUGUGAUGGUCAUAUAGGAUAAAAUUUAUUAUAUCUUCUUUUUUGUUUCUACUCCUAAAAUAAAUGUUCACUUUAAUUAAAAGGAUUCUCACAAAAUAAAUGAUACUCUGGAUCUUGUAAUGCCAAAAUAAUUGGAGAAUGCACAUUUAUUGCACCUGUUAGAAAGUACUAUCAACAUAUCUGUCCAUUAUAAAAGAGCUAAUAAUUAAGGGUAUGAAAGUAAUUUUACUUGAUGACUAAUUUAUUUAAUAUUGAUCAAAAUAGUAACAUAUUUUUUGAAAGGAGGAAGCAGUCAAUUUUUGUCCAACCAUGUGAUGUGAGGCAGGUCACAUCUUAAAAAUCUGCAUUUCGUGGAGUUUACAAAAAUAUAAAAACAUAGUAGAGUUUGCAGUAACAAAAAUCCACAGUUACCAGCCCAACAUUCAAAGACUCGACAAAGCUCUUGUAGACCAAGAUUGAAUGCACUAUUGUCGUUCCCGAGUUUUUCCAAACGACAGUUGCGUGCCAACAGGCCAACAGUGAACCCCGUGAUCGCAACCCGUUUGUUCAGCAUUCGAAGAACCUCUCGCUUCUCAGUCUGCCGUUCUGACGAGUGACGAGAGGGCGUUUUCGUGGAUGGAAUUUGUCAAUAGUCCUUGAUGACUGAAUGGUCUGGUCUUUGAAUUACGGGGCAGUUUUUGCUGGGAAAUUUAUAAUCAUGUUAUUAUGAUUAUGUAAAGUUAAAAAUAUGUUAUUGAUAUCUCGGUACAUUGCCACAGACUUCGAAAUUUGUGAUCCUUUUGAACCCAACGCUUAAUUUUGUAGGCUAAAACUUAGGCUCAUUAUCAACCUUAAAUAACUAAAUCCCAAAAUAAAAGUAUUUUUGGAACUAAUCAUGUGAAUUAAGAAAGAUGUGGAAAUGAUAGAGUGGAGAUUAUGAUUGGUUGCGAAGAGAAUAUUGUAGAUGAACAAAUAAGAUAUAGAGUGAUUGUAAUUGGCUAAGAUGGGAGAGUUUAUGAAAAAGUAGCUUUAUUUUGGUACAGAGCUGAGUAGCAAAAUUAGCUUCAUCUUAGAAUGGAGGGGGUAGAAAUUAAAUGAGGUGGUCGGUGAAGAAAGUAGAUCCUAUUUGAAAGUAAGGAGGAUUUUGGAUUAACUAGUGCUACUUUUUUAUUGCUAUUGAAGAGUAUAUAAGCAAUGAAUUAACUAGUGCUCCCUCCAUUUCAUAUAGUAAAACGAUUUGCUAUGUCUACGUUCAUCUAUUGAUAAAUAUAUAUUAUUUGCAUAUAUCUAAAUACAUUGGCAUAUAUAUGAUUUUAGACAAUAAAGUCUUAUAUUAUGAAAUAGAGGUUGUAAAAUAUUAAAAUUAUUGCUUUAGAAAAAACAAAUGAGAAACUUUUAUAUAUAAACGUUUUGCACAAAAUACACCAUUUAUCUAUCACAUAGUAUAUCGACUGAUUUUACUCAUUCUAUGUCAAUCAUUUAUUAUUUUUUAAAUCCAGUGGCUAAAAUCAUCUUUGUAAGAUCAGAUGGUUAGGACGGACUCCGUCUCUCCUUAAGUAGAAUUUUAUAUAUUAGAGAUUUUCUAAAUUAGAAAUCAUUUUACUAAUUAUAGAGUUUUUCUAUGUUAAAAUUUAUAUUUCCAAUUAGAAACAAAACAAACACAGACUUCGUAUUAAGAUAAAGAUAUAAACCUUUUAAUUAUAAAAUUUAUAUAAAUAUGUAGUAUAUAUCUUUUGAAUCAAAGUCCAAUUACAACUUCGUGUGGCUGGAGUAGUAGCACAAGUCGAUGUAAAAUACCAAAACACCAGACUACGAAUCUUAUUAAAAAAAAUUAUUAGUCCUAACAGAAAAAAAAGACUAGGAGUCAUAUUAGGAAACCAAUAAUAUAAUCUAAAAGUUCUCAAAAAUAAUAUAAUCCAAAUAUACUAUAGAUUAUAAUUCAGAUCAUAUCACUGACGUAUUAGCAUGCACGGUGAGUCGUAAUAAUAGAUUAUUUCCAUUGUUUUUGACUAGGUAUUGUUGAUAAACACCGGACUGAACUUGUGGUUGCGCUGCUAAAAGGGUAGCCUUUGUCUUCUUUUUGAAGGGUAAACAUCGCUAGCAAUUUAUUUAUCUAAGUUUAAAAGUUUACAAUCUUCCUUAAGAAGAAGAGUUAAGAACUCAGGGGCAUCAGACACUCAAUUACAAUAAAACUUGUCAAUAAUUCCUUCCUUCGCUAGCCGAUGUACCAUGUUCGCCGAACGUCGCUUUCAGAUUGUUUUCACCCCUAGAAAGCCACCCAAACCGGCUUUUAUUUUCUGAAUUAGCACGUCCUAAAUCGAUCGAUUAAAUUCCUUUUGCAUCAACAUAUUCACCACUACUUGAGAAUCGGUUUCUAUUAUAACGUGGGUAACGCUCAUCUCCUUUGCUACUACAAUAGUCCUUUGGCAAGCCAGGACUUCCACCAUUGAGGCAUCAUUAACGUGUGUUACCCAGCGCGUUGCUACGGAAGAACUGUGUUAUAAUAUAGUAGAUAUAAAUUCUAAAAAAAAUUACCUUACCUACUAUACAUUUUUUUUUCAUGUGUUUAUAUAUUUUUGUACCUUUAUUAAUUAUCCAUAUGUUAUAAAUAGUUGGGUUGUAUGGUGUACUUUUGGGGAGCCCAAAAGGGAUAUAAUUUACACUCUUGAUAAAUCAUCUAAAGGAUAAAAACAACUGAGGUGAUGUGAAGAGGUGCAAUUUGUAUCCUUGAUGUAUCAUGCCAAGGCUAAAAACAAUUGAGAUGAUGUGGCUUAAUUUACACCUUUGAUGUAUCAUCUUAAGGCUAAAAACAAUUGAGGUUGUGUGUCUUAACUUACACUCUCGAUGUAUCAUUCUAAGGCUAAAAAUAAUUAAGAUAAUGCGGUUUAAUUUACACCUUUGUUAUAUCAUUCUAAGGUUAAGGUUAAAAUAAUUGAGGUGAUGUGGUUUUACGAUAGAAGAGAGAAUGCCAUGAACUUUAUAGAAAAUAGGGAUCUGGUUAAAAUUUUGUUUUAAGGCUGGUAACACAAGACUACAAAGAGCAAUUGCUGAUCUGCUGGUACCGUGAGAGAGUUUUAUCCAUUUGAGCAUGACUUUCUUCGGCUUCUGCCAUUCGACGCGCAAAUUUUCAGUCAUUAAUUUAGUUUUACUCCUAGAAUGAAAUGAAAUACUUACUCCAUAUUUUUUAUAUGACGCCGUUGACAUUUAGGUACACGUUUAACCAUUUUUCUUAUUAAAAAUUAUAUAAUUAUUAAUUAUUUUAUUAUAAUAUGAUUUAUUAUUAUAGAAACUUUAAUUAUGCAUUAUAGUUUUGUAUAUUUGGAUAUAAAUUUUGAAUAAGACGAAUGGUUAAACGUAAUUUUAAAAGUCAACGGUGUACACAAAAAUAUAUAGAGGGAGUAAUAGAUAUAGGGUGAGCAACAAAUUAAACAUGGCCCUCGUAAAACGAUGAUAAGCUUAUUAAUAUUGAAUGCUUGAAGAUUAGAUUGUAGCAACUAAUUAAGUAAUACUCCCUCCAGUUUCAAGGGGUCCUAUUUUCGAUCUUUCGAAAAAAAAAAUCGAACAUUUACUUAUAAACGGUAAUAUAUGAAUCAAAUUUUUAUACAUGUGUUCUUAGUGUUUUUAAGCAAAUACCAAAAAAAAAACGAUGAAAAAUGACGGAGCCAAAGAUAACUAUCAUUUCGGACCUCAACUUUGAUUAUAAAUAACUUUUACAAUAUUUUUUUUGCUGGUAUCUCACGAACACGAGCGAACAUUUGCAGGAUGGCCGGAGCGGCAAGAGACGCUGCAACUGGCGCCGGGGAUGGCGCCGCUGCACACGUCGCUGCUGUCGUGGAACAACGCCGUCGUGCCGGAGGGGCAGCACAUCAUCUUCAACCUUCUGUGCCGGAACAACAAGCUCAACGACGACAUCGCCGAGAUAACCGUGUGCAACUCCUUCCACAAGGCCGAGGCUGGUGUGUUCAAGCUCUUCCCGGACCUCCUCCCUUUCGACCCACUCGUCGCCGACCAAGAGCUCCGGUGGCCCGUGGGCCACUUCUUGCCGGAGGACAUGCGGUGCCUGGAGUGGCUCGACGCGCAGCAGGGCGGCUCCGUCGUGUACGUGGCCUUCGGCAGCAUGGCCAUCUUCGACGCACGUUAGUUCCAGGAGCUCGCCGAGGGGCUGGAGCUCACCGGCCGACCAUUCCUGUGGGUGGUCCGGCCGGACUUCACCCCGGGCCGGAGCAAGCCGUGGCCGGAUGACUUCCGGUGCCGUGUCGCAAGCACCGGCAGGGGCAUGAUCGUCACCUGGAGCUCCCAGCAGCGCGUCCUAGCGCACCAGGUCGCGGCAUGCUUCGUCUCGCACUGCGGCUAGAACUCGACGCUGGAGGGGGUGCGCAACGGCGUGCCAUUCCUGUGCUGGCCCUACUUCUGCGACCAGUUCCUCAACCGGAGCUACGUCACCGCCGUGUGGCGCACCGGGCUGGCGGUGUCGCCCAGCGAGGACGGCGUUGUGACGAAGGAGGAGGUAUGGAGCAAGGUGGAGCAGGUCGUAAGCGACGCCGAGAUCAGGGAGAGGGCGCGACUGCUCAGGGACAUGGCGCGCGCGCGUCACAGAGGGCGGCUCGUCGCACGAGAAUUUCAGAAAAUUUAUCGACCUCCUCAGUGAAUGAAAGAUAAUACUCCCUUCAUAUUUUUUUAAUAUGACACCAUUGACUUUUAGGUCUAUGUUUAACCAUUCAUCUUAUUCAAAAAAUUAUAAUUAUUAAUUAUUUUAUUAUAAUAUGAUUUAUUAUUAUAGAAACUUUAAGUAUGCAUUAUAAUUUUGUAUAUUUGAAUAUAAAUUUUGAAUAAGACGAAUGGUCAAACGUAAUCCUAAAAGUUAACGGUGUCAUACAUAAAAAUAUGGAGAGAGUAUUUCCACAAGCUGUCACAAAAAUAACAAAUUUUCAUCGUCGCACAAGACCCAUUGAAAUGCAUGCACUGAAAGAAAAGGUAUUUUCAUCGAUCAUUUACAUAGCUAUGUAUUUAUAUCAGCUAAAUAAUUAUUAAAAAAAGAUAAGAUAGAUUAAUAUGUUAUAUAUCUACUACUACUAUAAAAAAGAGUAGUGGUAAUGGUGGUGGGUGGUGGUGAAUCUACCAUCUACCCCACCACCAACUCACUUCUAUUUUUUAAAAGAAAAAAAGUUGAGACCUAUAUGUUAAACUAAUUUUAUUAACUAUAUUUUAAUAAAAUGCUAAUGAUAUUUUUUAAUAAGAUCCCGUUGCAACGCAUGGGUAAUAGGCUAGUUAUUCCAUAAACUUGCAAGUUCAAAUUCGAUCUUUAUAAGUUGUAACAAAUUUAAAUAUGAAUGUAUAUAUACUAGUUUUGGUUUAAUUUGUUAUUUUUGUCAUAGCUUGUGGAAAUCAAAUUUGGACUUGCAUGUUUAUAGAGUGGUGUAUGCCAUACUAAUAUAUAUUACUAAUUUUUUAAAUAAAUAAAUAAUUAAUUAAUUAUUUAGAUGAUAUACAAGAAAUAAGUGGAUAUCUAGAUACGAAAAUCCAUCUCCACAUCCAAAUCAUACUGCAGUCUUUACUAUACGCUGAAUGAUAUCGAGUCCAAACUUGCCUGCAUAAGUGUAUCCAUUUUGGUGUCAAAUUAAAUUCAACUCAUCUUACCAUAAAAAGAUUGUCAUCCGUAGAUUUGGACCUUGUGAAGUCCUAUUUUGUAAUGGAGGAUUUUGAAUGAAAUAGAACUGGAUCCUGUGAAAACCUUCUAAAGUUUGUCGGUUUUGAAGGAGCACGUAGAUGAUUCUCUUAUAUUUAGGCAUCAUUUCGAACGGAGUAAUUUCAAAAACUAAGUUCUAAAAAAAAUCUGUAUUCCAUCCUACCCGAAAAAAAAAACCAAACAUGAGCUAAGAUUAGGCACCGUAAAUUAGUAAAACCAGAAAUUCUUCAACCGAAGAGGGGAUAUUAGUUAUGGAGGCCAUGGUCAAUGUAUUUACAAACUAAAAAUAAUUUAUAAAUAAUUUUAUAUAUAUUGAUUUAAAAAUUAAGACUGAAAAAUAAAACUUAAAAAACCUAAAAUCAAUUGUAAAUUUAAUAUUAUAAAUUUUAAUUUUAAUAUUUAUUGAUAAAUAGAAACGAAAAGAUAAGUCAGUACAUACGGCUUAUCUCAUCCUGUCGCACUCCAUUCCACGAGGCUAUAAACUGCCAAUGCAGUUGACAGCCUCUCGCCACACUCUCUUGCGGCGUCCACAGAUACCCAGAUAGUUGCAUCACAAGGUAGAACUCAGAGAGAUCUCAUGGCGGCCAAGGGUCACGUCCUCGUGCUGCCCAUGCCGUGCCAGGGGCACGUCACCCCGCUCAUGGAGCUCUCGCACCGCCUCGCCGACGAGGGCUUCGAGGUCACCUUCGUCAACACGGAGGUAGACCACGCGCUGGUGCUCGGGGCGCUGCCGGCGGGCGGCGCGGCGGAGCUCCGGGAGCGCGGGAUCCACCUGGCCUUCAUCCCGGACGGCCUCGCCGACGGCGAGGACCGCAAGGACAUCAACAAGCUCGUCGACGCCUACUCGCGCCACAUGCCGGGCCACCUGGAGCGGCUCAUCCGCGGGGCCCCCCCCCCCCCCCCGGGGGCCCCCCCCCCCCGCCUCGCCGACGAGGGCUUCGAGGUCACCUUCGUCAACACGGAGGUAGACCACGCGCUGGUGCUCGGGGCGCUGCCGGCGGGCGGCGCGGCGGAGCUCCGGGAGCGCGGGAUCCACCUGGCCUUCAUCCCGGACGGCCUCGCCGACGGCGAGGACCGCAAGGACAUCAACAAGCUCGUCGACGCCUACUCGCGCCACAUGCCGGGCCACCUGGAGCGGCUCAUCCGCGACAUGGAGGCCGCCGGCGGGAGGCCCAAGGUGCGGUGGCUCGUCGGCGACGUCAACAUGGGGUGGUCGUUCGUCGUCGCCAGGAAGCUCGGCAUCCGCGUCGCCUCGUUCUGGCCGGCGGCCGCGGCGUGCCUCGCCAUCAUGCUCAAGAUCCCCAAGCUGGUCGAGGACGGCGUCCUUAACAACAAGGGUUUGUAAAUUUUAAUCCCAACUUGGUUUUGCUUUAUUGAUAUCGCCAUGGACGGUGAGUCGUAAAAUAGAUUCUUUCCAUUGUUUUUGACUUGGUAUUGUUGACUAAACACUGGACUAAACUUGUCAUUGCCCAGCUAAAAGGGUAGCCUUUGUCAAUACAAUCUGGUUAAAAUUUUGCUUUAAGGCGCUAACACAAGACUACAAAGAGCAAUUGCUGGACUGCUGGUGCCGUAAGAGAGUUUUAUCCAUUUGAGCAUGACUUUUCUUCGGUCUCUGCCAUUCGAAGCGCAAAUUUUCACAAUCAUUAGUUUAGUUUUACUGCUAGAAUGAAAUAAAAUAAUAGAUAUAGGGUGAGCAACAAAUUAAACCCAACCCUCCCGAAACGAUCAUAAGCUUAUUAAUAUUUAAUGCUUGAAGGUUAGAUUGUAGCAUCUGAUUAAGUAAUAUUCCCUCCGGUUUCAAGGGGGUUAUAUUUUCGAUAUUUCGUGAAAAAACCAAACGAUAUAUUUACUUAUAAAUAAUAAUUUAUGAAUAAAUUUUAUACAUAGGUUCUUAGCAAUUUAAAAGCAAAUAAAAAAUAAAUAUUAUGAAGAAAAUCUUAAAAUAAAUUCUAAAUUUAUGUUUGAAAAUUUCAAUUUUAACUUAUAACUAUAAACGUAAGUGAAACGAUGGAGCCAAAUAUAACUAUCAUUUCAGACCAUGCUAGAGUAAACUUUGGUUAUAAAUAACUUUAUAAUAUUUCUGUUGCUUAUAUCUCACAAACACGCGCGAACAUUUGCAGGAUGGCCAGAGCGGCAAGAGACGUUGCAGUUGGCGCCGGGGAUGCCGCCGCUGCACACGUCGCUGCUAUCGUGGAACAACGCCGGCGCGCCGGAAGGGCAACACAUCAUCUUCGACCUUGUGUGCCGGAACAACAAGCUCAACGACAUCGCGGAGAUAACCGUGUGCAACUCCUUCCACGAGGCCGAGGCCGGCGUGUUCAAGCUCUUCCCGGACCUCCUCCCCAUCGGCCCGCUCGUUGCUGACCAAGAGCUCCAGCGGCCCGUGGGCCACUUCUUGCCGGAGGACACUGGGUGCCUGGAGUGGCUCGAUGCGCAGACGGGCGGCUCCGUCGUGUACGUGGCCUUCGGUAGCAUGGCCAUCUUCGACGCGCGUCAGUUCCAGGAGCUCGCCGAGGGGUUGGAGCUCACCGGCCGGCCGUUCUUGUGGGUGGUCCGACCAGACUUCACCCCGGGCCUGAGCAAGCUGUGGUUGGACAGCUUUCGGCUCCGCCUCGCCAGCACCGGCAAGGGCAUGAUCGUCACCUGGUGCUCCCAGCAGCGUGUCCUAGCGCACUCGGCCGUGGCAUGCUUCGUCUCGCACUGUGGCUGGAACUCGACGCUGGAGGGGGUGCGCAACGGCGUGCCGUUCCUGUGCUGGCCCUACUUCUGCGACCAGUUCCUCGACCAGAACUACGUCACUGCUGUGUGGCGCACAGGGCUGGCGGUGUCGCCUGACGAGGACGGCGUCGUGACGAAGGAGGAGGUGAGGAGCAAGGUGGAGCAGGUCGUGGGCGACACCGAGAUCAGGGAGAGGGCGCAACUGCUCAGGGACACGGCGCGCACGUGCGUCACACGGGGCGGCUCGUCGCACAAGAAUUUCAAGAAAUUUAUCGACCUCCUCAGUGAAUGAUGACCUAUUGAAAUGCAUGCAUAGAAAGAAAAAGUAUUUUCAUCGAUCUGUUGUGUGUCCAUGUUUUUUUAUGUCAGCUAAAUAAUUAUUUAAAAUAAAAAAUAGGAUGUAUUAAUAUGCUAUAUAUUAUCACAUAAACAUGCAAGUUCAAAUUCGAUCUCUAUAAGAUGUAACAAAUUUAUAUGUAAACAUACUUAUACUUGUUUUGGUUCAAUUUAUACUUGGAAGUUGAAUUUAGACUUGCAUGUGUUAUAGAGUGAUAUAUAUCAUGUUAAUCCAUGUUAUGUUUUUUAUGAUUAUUUAGAUGAUAUACCAGAAAUAAGUGGAUAUCUAGAUAUGAAAAUCCAUCUCCGCAUCCGAAUCAUACUACAGUCUUUACUAUAGGUUGAAUGGGAUUUGGAUUCUCUACCAUUAUAUUAGUGUCAUUAUAGUUACUGACCUACAGUUACUGACCUAUAGGUCCUACGGAUGAUGGGACCUACACGUUAGUGAUUAUAAUGGCAGUGGCACGAUGGCAGAGGGUCUCAAUCCAGCGAAAUGAUAUUAAGUCCAAACUUGCCUGCAUGAGUGUAUUCAUUUUGGUGUCAAAUUAAAUUCGAAUCAUCUUACCAUACAAAAGAUUGUCAUCCGUAGAUCUGAACCUUUUGAAGUCCUCCUUUGUAAUAGAGGAUUUUGUAUGAAAUUCAACAUGAUCCUGCGAAAACCACCUUCUAAAGUUCGUUGGUUUCGACGUAGCACGUAGAGAAUUCUUUAUAUGUAUGCAUCAUUUAGAACGGAGUAAUUUCAAAAAUUAAAUCCUAAAAAAUCCUUAUUCCGUCCUAUAAGAAACAAACCAAACAUGAGCUAAGACUAGGCACAGUAAUAAAUUAGUAAAACCAGAAAUUUCUUUAACCGGAGAAGGGAUAUAAGUUAUGGGCUAGAAAUAUGGAUUUGUUUGGCCCGGUAGAGAAGUCUUGUCUUAUCUCUGCCGGUUGGGCUUAGUAAUAUGGGCCGGUUGCGAGGAGAGGCUCUGCAGCGGACUGGAAAAGAGAGGAGCGUGGCCUCGUUGGUUCGUUCGCUUGGUAAAUCAGAUUUUUUUUUUCGUUUUUCACACGAAUGUUUUUCAAACAUUAAACGAUGUGUUUUUAAAAUUUUUAUAUAAAUACUUUUUAUAACUAAUAAUUUAUUAAUUAAUUAUGUACUAAUUUAUUGCUGUGUUUUUCAUGCCAGAUAGCUACUCGCAAGUCACGACAUGUCGACUCUUCCAAACAAUUCAGACUCUCAGCUAGCGGAGAAUAAGUAGAUCCAGAAAAUACAUUAAAAUCAAGAGGUUUUAAAAAGUAUCUAUUUCAUAUCGUUAUACAGGCUAGUUGCUCCUAAAAACAUCCAGCUCCCUGUACAGGGCCAUGGACUGACUGAGACUUCUCGACGAAAUGCAGAACACGUAGGGACCUCGAGAAGCAAAACACUAUUUGAGUCCCUGAGUAAAAGUAGAUUUUGCGUCUGCUGAUGCCUUAAGUAAUGAUACUAUUGAAAUCUAUACAGUGUUCUUUCACAAUUUCGGAAUAUAUAUACACACUCUCUCUCAUUGAUUAGUAAGCCUCCAUGCACUUAUUCCUACUCCUAAGUACUAGCUUCCGUAGCCUCUCUUCACAGUCAAACUCAGAUUGCUCAAUUUCUUUUCUUGGCGAGCCUCCGCAUCAGAAGGAGCAUGUGGCGGGAGGCCGGCGAUUCUUCAAGAGCUCACCUGUACAAAUGGCUGCCGCUCAAAACAACACAUUUUCUUUACACCAAGUAGCCGCAGAAAAAAACCAAAGUAAAAGUACAUAAGGACAACAGGGUAGUACAAAAUAGAUGAUGCAUGGAUCACGAUCAGAUGGAACGACAACAAUUUGAUCGUCUUUGCUAGCUAAGCACAUCACAUCCCGAUCCACAUUCACUUAAUCUAUCCACCAAAAGGAACGGCAACUGACAGCUUUCUUGCGUAUAUCACAGAAUCACACCCUGCACGAGAUUGCUCUAGUCUUGCAGUUGCACCUGCACACUCACUCCACUGGCAUCCAUGGCUGCUCCUCAGCCUCAUGUCAUGGUCCUACCCUUCCCUGCACAGGGCCAUGUCAUGCCUCUCAUGGAGCUCUCUCACCGGCUCGUCGACCUCGGCUUCGAGGUCGACUUCGUGCACACCGACUUCAACCGCGACCGCGUCCUCAGGGCCAUGGCGGACGAGACGGGCGCGAUCCGGCCAGGGAUUCACAUGGUGUCCUUCCCGGACGGCAUGGGCCCUGCCGGCGACCGUGCCGACAUCGCCAAGCUGGCCGAUGGGCUGCCGGCCGCCAUGCGCGGCGGCAUCGAGGAGAUGAUCAGGUCGGAGGGGAUCAGGUGGGUGAUCGCCGACGUGUCCAUGGCCUGGGCGAUGGAGCUGGCUGCCACGGUGGGUGUCCAUGUCGCCUUGUUCUCGACCUUCUCCGCCGCCGUGGUGGCGCUCAGGAUGCACGUUCCCAAGCUACUUGAGGAUGGCAACCUGGACGAAAAUGGUAGGAACAAAUCAGCAAUCAUCCUUUUAGCAGAAAAGCAAAUCCUGAAUUGAUCAAUUGAAGCUGUGGUUGAUUAAGAUCAAGAACGUGUAACUAUUGCAGGGAAUGUGAAGAGGAACGAGAUGAUCCGGCUGAGCCCCACGAUGCCGCCCGUACGAGCAGGCGAGCUGCCCUGGGUCACCCUCAGCGGCACGCCGGAGGGGCGCAGGAUGGUCAUCCAGAACGUGUUCAAGACCAAUCCGGCGAUAUCAUCAGCCGAGGUCAUCAUCUGCAACACGUUCCAGGACAUCGAGCCUGGGGCGCUAGCCCUCGUCCCCAACGCGCUGCCCGUGGGCCCGCUGGAGGCGCCUGCGACGGCGAGGUCAACCGGCCAUUUCUGGCCGGAGGACCAGACGUGCCUGGCGUGGCUCGACGAGCAGGAAGCUCGCUCCGUCAUCUACGUGGCGUUCGGGAGCUUCACCGUCUUCGACAUGGCGCGGGUCCAGGAGCUCGCCGACGGGAUGGUGCUCACCGGCAGGCCAUUCCUGUGGGUGAUCAGGCAAAACUUCGCCAACGGCGUCGGCGAGGGAUGGCUGGAGGAGUUCAGGCGCCGUGUAAUCGGCAAGGGGAUGAUCGUCGGCUGGGCUCCUCAGCAGCGCGUGCUCUCGCACCCGUCGGUCGCCUGCUUCGUGUCGCAUUGUGGGUGGAACUCGACAAUGGAAGGGCUCCGGCAUGGCGUGCCGUUCCUGUGCUGGCCGUACUUCGCCGACCAGUUCUGCAACCAGAGCUACAUAUGCAAUGUGUGGGGGACAGGAAUGAAGCUCCUGGCCGAUGAGAGAGGGGUUGUCACCAAGGAGGAGAUCAAGAACAAGGUCGAGCAGCUUCUCGACGACAAGGAAAUCAAGGUGAGGGUGGCAAAGUGGAAGGAUGCGGCAUGCACAAGCAUAGCAGAGGGAGGGUCCUCGCAUGAAAACUUGCUGAAGUUUGUGAAUUUGCUAAGAGGACAGUAGUAACCUAGAUGGAAGAUGGUCGAAAUUAUUUUGACCUCAGAAGUUGGAAACUUGGAAUUAGCUAUUGGGUCUCUUUAGCCAAUUCGUGGGAUAAGAACAUACUCCCUCUGAUUUUUUUUAUUUGACGUUGGUGACUUUUAGAUAUAUGUUUGAUUGUUCGUUCUAUUCAAAAAUUUUAUCUAACUAUACAAAACUAUAAAUCAUGUUUAAAGUUUCUAUAGCAAAUGUCAACUAUAUAUAUCGGUAGAAAAAAUAGACGACGGCAAGUGAGAAGUAGAAAACGAUGGUAGGUAGAGGAUAGGGGAUAUCCAGGUUCAGACUCUCAAUGGUAGAUAAUAAUCUACUCCUGCUCAUGUUGUAUUAUGAGGUGGAAACAUAUCGCAAACAAGUUGUUGCACAAUAUGCUAUGUCGUGAUUACUCAGAGAGCCCCCUGCCUCACCUUAUAUACCAAGGGGAAGGGUUAUAAAGAUCGAAACCUAAUAUAAUAAGACUAAGCAUGUCCGAUUCAUACUUGGCUAGUUAUGAAAAUCUAGACAUAGUAAACCAAAUUCUUACCAUAUCACUAGCCGGUUACAGCCCAACAUCUUUCUUUACAAUUAGGGGCCCCCUUAUAAGAAUGCGUACAGUAUAUGUGUAUAGCCUAUAUCCGGUUAUUCUAUAGUAACAAAUAAAAUUAUAAUAAAAUAAUUAAUGAUUAUAUAUUUUUUUGAAAAAGACGAACAAUCAAAUGUAGACCUAGAGGUCAACGGCGUCAAAUAAAAAAACGGAGAGAGAACCAUUUUCUGGGAAAGAGUACUAGGUCUAGGAACCUUUUCACCGGUGCUAAAUGUAAUGCACUAUAAUAAAAAGCUAUAGUUUUUAUUAUUCAGAUGAUGCAUACACAAGUACUGAAAGUGACGCGGACAACAUCAGAAAAGAACUUUUUUUUAGUUCUCUAAACCAUCAAUCUCUAGUACCUUGAAACACUACAGCUAGGAAUAAAGUGUGAUACUAUUAACAAAGGAAUGCUGGAUGCAAACCAUUUAUACCAAGCCAGGUAGAGCUUACUUCUUUAUUAGAAAUGGAAACCAAUUCGAGAACUAAAGCUGAGAAUCAAGUUUAGCUCAAAUUUUAAGUUAGAACAACUCGUCAACAAGGACAUGUGGAGGAGCAUGCGGAUAUUCAUGAGCUACAGCAAGUAAACAUGCAUCUGCAUUCAAAUUUCAGACCCAAACAUCAUAUUCCUUGAUAAAAGGGCUCCUGAUGCAUCAACUAAUUGGGUAAGGAAUUAGCUCACCUGAAAAAAUGCAGGCACCCAGAAAACCGGAGGGAUGGUUGCUCUUCAAAUGUGACCAAUUUACUCCUAAACGACCUGAAAUGUUGCCUUUCAGCUAGAAGUCCAAAGUAUCAUGAUGAAUCCAAAUAGCUGAGAUUGUUCAUUGAGACUAAGGUCCCAGCAUUUGAAUUAUGUAUUAGCAUACUGUCCACAAAGCCAAGGUGAAUAAAAGAAGCCACUAUUAUUAAUUUGCAGGUGAGAAAUCUGCAUUAGUUCUCAACAUAAACAGAUGAAACUACUCAUAAAAAAAUCAAAACCCAGUUGGUGUUUGGUAACAGCCGAUAGAAUAUACCAUGAAUGAAAUAACUUGAUAAGCAUGAUUUUCACAAAUGCUGAAAACUCUGUACUUUCCACUGCAGUAUUGCACCAUUCAUCAUAAAAUUAUCAACAUUCAAUUUUCUAAAGUUGUUCUGAAUAAGUGCUCAAGAACCAAUAUAUAUGACCGGUUCAGAAUUUAUCUUAUUUUCCAGAUGAAUUAUAUGAUGCUCGUCUUUUAGUAUGACUAACAAAAUUUCAGAAAGAACUUCAGUUUGUGAAAAAGAAAUUUCUGGAAAGAACUUCACACAUUUUAUUAUGGGAUGGCAAUUCUUUUUACCUACUCAAAUCUAGUGAAGCUCCUUAUGCAUAAUGAAUAGGCAAGCUAGCAGAAGCUUAAUAACAGGAAUAUGUCACAUACUCACAUGUGCAUAAGGUAUGCAAAUAUGGUAGUCAUUUCAUACACGGCCACAUCUAGCAGCAAUCAAAUGUCAAUCCCGUGUGGCAUCUCCUUCCUUAUAAUAUAUUGACUAUUUUGCUUGCCCUAACAUGACAAAGACAGCAACGUGGUCAUCAAGUUUGAUAAUUUAGUUAAUAAGUUAUAUAAAUGAUUGUUUGAUUACCUUUUCUUGGGAAAGGAGAAACCUACACUCAACAGAUUACAUAUUUGCUGAUGCAAUAGGAAUGCCUAUGUGGCCCUUGGUGUACAAAGUCUAUUGGACCUAUCAGGCUAUAUCUAUCCACAAGAAGUCCAGUAUUUCAUCUCAAAAGCUUCUUGUAGCCAUAGACCAUUCUAAGAAGACAUAUUUCAAUCUUCCAUGGCUGCUGCUGCUCAACCUCAUGUCAUGGUGCUACCCUUCCCUGCACAAGGCCAUGUCAUUCCGCUCAUGGAGUUAUCUCAUAGGCUUGUUGAGCAAGGCUUCAUGAUUGAUUUUGUAAACACUGAGUUCAACCACAACCGUGUCCUGAAGGCCUUAGCAGAGAAAGGAACAAUCCCUGGUGGAAUUCGCUUGCUUUCCGUUCCAGAUGGUUUGGGCCCUGCUGAUGACCACACAGACAUCGGCAAGUUGGUACAAGUCUUACCGUCUGCUAUGCUUAGCCUCCUGGAGAAGAUGAUCAUAUCCAAGAAGAUCAAGUGGGUAAUAGUAGAUGUGUCCAUGAGCUGGGCGCUAGAACUGGCUACCACAGUGGGUGUCCGUAUUGCCUUGUUCUCAACUUACUCUGCAGCUGUUUUUGCACUCAGGAUGAACCUUCCUAAACUGAUAGAGGAUGGUAUUCUUGAUGAAACUGGUAAGGACAACUAAAUCACCCGCAACAAAGUAAUUUCUGUGUCACGUGUUUAUUUACUUCAUAUGGUUUAACCAGCCAAACAUACGCCAUCUAUGCAGGGAAUGUAAAGAGGCAUGAGAUGGUCCAACUGAUGCCACCCAUUGAUGCAGCUGAGAUCCCUUGGGUCAGCCUUGGCAGCACCCAAGAAAGACGGAGAUUUAACAUCCAAAAUGUCUUUAGGACCAACCAACUGAUGGCUCUAGCUGAAGUUAUUGUAUGCAAUACUUUCAGGGAAAUAGAAUCAGAAGCAUUGGCUCCCCUUUCGAAUGCACUGCCUGUUGGUCCACUUGUAGCACCUGCUUCAGGGCAAACAGGCCAUUUCUUGGCUGAAGACCUGACCUGCCUCACCUGGCUCAACACACAGGCCCCCGGCUCCGUUAUCUAUGUGGCCUUUGGGAGCUCCACCAUCUUCGACGUAGCACAGUUUCAUGAGCUUGCCAAUGGGCUUGCACUCUCUGGCCAACCAUUUCUGUGGGUUGUGCGACCAAACUUCACCAAUGGAAUCCAAGAAGAUUGGUUCAAUGAAUAUAAAGACUAUGUGGGGGGCAAGGGGUUGGUCGUCAGCUGGGCUCCCCAGCAACGAGUACUAUCACACCCUUCAAUCGCUUGCUUCAUGUCGCACUGUGGGUGGAACUCAACAAUGGAAGGAGUGCUGCACGGUGUCCCGUUCUUGUGUUGGCCUUAUUUUUCCGACCAAUUCUGCAACCAGAGCUACAUAUGCAAUGUGUGGGAGAUAGGCAUUAAGCUUGACCGAGACAUCAAAGGGAUUGUCACACAGGAGGAGAUCAAGAACAAGGUGGCACAGCUGCUAGGAGACGAGGGGAUCAAAGAAAGAGCUGCGACACUGAAGGCGACGGCCCAUGCAAGCAUCCAAGAGGGGGGUUCCUCGCAUCAGAACUUUCUGAAGCUUGCGAAUUUUCUAAGAGAACAAUGAUAUUUCAGAAUUCAGAAUUAACUGAUACAUAGAUCACUGAAGUCUUGAUGCAGCCAAAUAAGAUCAAUCUGUCAAUAAAAUAAACGGAAUGCACGCCUUAAUAAAAGAUUCCAUUGUUUGAUGCCAACUACUCUUUUUAAGUCUACUAUUUAAUGUAGCAAGUUGUACUAGAUUAUGAAACGGCUUAAUACCAUCAUUGGAGCAAGACAGAGUUAUGUGAAAGCUCUUUGCGUCAACCACCGGAAGUGUAAAUUUGACUCUAUUAGCUGGUUCCCAAUCUACAUAGUGACAGGAGAUGCUCAUGAGAGAAAAUGCGAGUUAGUAAGUAAAGCAGGACACUCUGCAUGCCUUGAGACAGAGUUCACCGAUGCACUGAAGGUGUUCGAUGGAAUGCCCAAUGCCGGACUCCGGCGACGAAACGCAGCGUGGCCCUCAUUGGACGAUGCACAUCUCGCAGUAGGAAAAUGAGCAAAAGACGGGAGUAACAAGAUCCUUGCCGUUCCCAUACCCGCGGCGGCGGUUCGACGUGGCGCGACUGAUGCCCCCGCAGCUCCGCCGCGGCAAAGGCGGUUGGUCUGGGGCAACCGACCAUGGCGCCGCGCCAGCGCGCGCGCACCGAAUCGGCUCCUCCAACUCCGUGGCCUCCCCACGCUCCACGCCUCCAUGGCACUCCGCCGCCCCGACCCCGCAUCCGCGCGAACGCGAAUGCCGCCGCCAUGGCACUACGCCACUCGUGAGUCGUGACCUCGUCGUGCGUCGUAGGUAGAUUUCCGUUUGUAGGAUCCAUUUCCGUUUGGGUAGGUUGGGCCGUUCAGCUAUUUUACGGAGGAAAGAAAGCUCGGUCCAAGUUGGGCUGCCAGUGUAUGGGCGUAAGAAGAGUCCUGCAACUGCAGCGUUUCUUCGUUUGACUGGGCCGCUCUUGGUCCGGAACAGUACAAAUAGUCCAACACCUAUCAAACGCCCAGCCCACAACGUCCAUGUUUUUUUUUUUUUUGUUUCAAGAAACCCACCGAACUGGGAAGGAACUUAGGAACAGCUUGCUGGUUUGGUUUGUGAUCUAAAUUGGUCUCGCCAGUAUUCGGUAAUUUUAAUAGUAUUAGCGUUUUUUUGAUUGAAGUAAAAUGGGUGAUUUUUAAAAACCAAAUGAUAUAUUUAAAAAUAAAAAAAUAAUUUAUGUGCAAAAAUUUUAUAUACGUGUGUUAGUGAUCUAAAAGCUGAAGCUAAUAAAAAAACUACAGUGAAAGAACCAUACAAUUUACUUUAAAUUAUGUUUAAAAAUUCAAAUUUUGGCAUAUAUAUAUAGAAGAAAAGCAGAAAGAUAGGGAUAAAAAUAUGGCAAACCUUGAAAGAAUAGACCACUUUGAUAAUAACUUAAGUACUCCCUUUUUUUAUUUGAAUAGUUGAUUUUAAAUCUAUGUUUGAUUAUUCGUCUUAUUUAAAUCUUUUAUAGAAAAUGCAAAAUUAUAAUCCAGGCUUAAAAUGUCUCUAGUAACAAAUUAAAUUAUAAUAAAAUAAUUAAUAAUUAUAUAAAAUAUUUAAAUAAAAUGAGUAUAUAGAUAUAGACCUAAAAGUCAACGACGUCAAAUAAAAAAGGAGUGGAGGGAAUACUAACUUAGGUUAUUUUAUCUUCAAUCCAAACACAAAAUUACCUUACUACAAUUGAUCAUACCAAAACUUGUGAACAUUUGUUCUCUCGUCUUUUUGUGUUUGCCCAAAAUUUAAAUUUCGAGCCUUAAAUUUAAAGUUGAUUUGGCCGUUUAUUAAUCAUGAUUUAUUUUUUAGUCUCCAUUUUUUUAUCGCUAAGAAUAUAUAUAUAUAUAUAAGUUUUAUCCAUAAAUUUUUUUUUACCAAUACUGGUAAGGUCACUUCUGAUUUCAGAACAAACCAACCCAGCUCGCCAACGAGUUGCAACAUUUAUCACGGACAAGGAAUCUGUCGCUCUGUCGUGUCUUCAUCCCAGCAAGCUGCGCGGCAAUACGGAUCCUAAACAGUUUGCACGAACGUCGUCGAAGCCGUAAUCGUGCACGCACGCCACCAUUCCCCACCGGCCACCGCCAACGCGCCGCCGCAAGAAGCCGCGCACCGCGCGAGACGCGCCGAGUUAGAAACCAGCACGGCAGCCCGCACGGGCACAAGCCGUCUGUAAAAAAAAAAAAAACAAAGCACCGCCUCGUCUCGUCUCGUGGCCGGCUGCUUCGGAGCAAGCACACUCGAUCCAGCACAUUUCACCCGCGACGCGAUGUCCCGCGCCACCACCGUCUCGAACUCGGCGAGAAGGGAAGGAAAACGACUCGCCUGGACCGGGGCGGCGAUGCGAUCGCGGCCCCCGUGAGGCGAACCCGUCGAACGACCGCUCGGUUGGUUAAUGGCUUUGGCGCUUCUUCCCACAUGCGCCAAGAAUCGUAGGAAACACCGUGUUCCUCUGCCGGCCAGCUUGUGUCGUCUUGUUUGAGAGCACACGAAUUGGUAACCCAAACUGCCCGAGAGCGUACAGGCUUAUGUGUACUAAGCUUCAAAAGAUUUGGCACAAGAUGACUGGAAGAAUGUGUUCAGAUACUCGAACUACAUGCUGGUACGUAUAAUGCACGUGCUCAAGUUAAGACUUCAGGGAAAGAAAACAAGCCACACGGCUGCAGAAGUGCAGAGUUUAGCAUGCAGUGUACAAAACUAAAAGUCGUUGAGUGCACAAGCAUAACCCUUCUGGUUUCAACAGUUGCAGCUUCCCACUGUUGCUGCUCCAAGGGUACUAGGAGUACAAAAGAACCUGAACUUUCUUUGCAGAGAAGAUGGCUUCUCAUCACCUCUCCCCGUUAGGUGAGCCUGGCUGCCCACAUGUUCCCUAGCACAUUGCAAUGUGCCCAAAGUAGACAAACCAUGUUGGCCAUCAUGGUCCAUGAUUAGAAUAAAGGAGAAGGGAGGAUAAAAAAAAAACACCACCAAAUGACUGUAGGUUGUUGGUGCAUGCCCAUUUUCUCUGCUCCCUCUAAGCCUAACUGAACAUUGUUUUUCAUUAGCUCGAUUGGUACCUCUCCUAACUUUGCCAAACUCACAUCACAUGUACUGCUACGAGCACUCACUAGGCCCGGAAAUUUGAAGGCCAACGACCUGCUAACAUCACAGAGAAAGCAACACAUUUCUCCCCAUUCUUGACGAAAUUGUACCGACCAUCCCGGCUCCAAUCGCGGACCGUUAUCCAGGUGUCCACUUUUAGGCAAGGAUUUCGUUGAGGUUGUCUUGAGUGUGUGCAGCAGUGCAACUGUGCAAAGAGUUCGUUAGAAGAUGCGGAUGGAGUAUAGUGCAAGCAAAAAUUUAUGUUGUUUGAUCAUGUGUGAUGUAUGAAUUAGUGUGGUUUUUGUUAAUUCCAGUAUUUGAUCAGGAAUUUUAGUCCCAGCAUCUGAACCUUUUUUUUUAAGUGAUCAUAUGAUUAGUGUGGUUUUUUAAUUACAAUGUCAAGGUUUGAGUGCAUGUGAUCAAUAUCAUGACAUGGUUCUUCCUACAUACAUCAUUUCCGUUUGAUGGCAAAGGUACAACACCUUUAAGUAAACUUUUGUUAGGGACGAUAAUCACCUUUAAGUAAAAACUAGUGCACUAUUACAGCAGGCAUAUAUGGAGCACCUUGAUCUAAAAGAACAGGAGAGAUAAUUACUUGAUCUUCUGAAGAAAAUUACACGACGCCGAAUAACAACAAACUCAGAAAAAGACGCAAGCCAAACAAAAGAAAGAAGAAGAAGAAGAAGAAAAAAAACAGGAGAGUCUCCAACGACCAAACAGCAGCCAAAUUGACGUCGCUUUCCAUCCCAUUGCUCUCCUCCCUGUUGGACUGUUCCGAUCGGCGAUCCGUACUCGCCGUUCUUCCGUUUUGCGUGCGGAGGACGCAUGCAUCCAUCUAUCGAUCCAUCCGCCACCAAAACGCUCUAAAUCCCGCGUGCUGGUUGAUGCAUUUUCUUGAUCACUUGAGUGGCACUCAAAAGCGAAAUCAUCGUCAACCUUAUUUCUCUCUGUUAGUUGCUUCUUAACCGAAAUCUGAUGGAGGAGAUGGUACUGGGAUUGCGUUUUCUUUCCUUUGCUUGCCUCCGAUGUCGGUGGGCUCUGUGCUAAGGUCAUGUUUAGUUCCUAAAAAUUUCCGCGUUCAAUCGUCACAUCGAAUUUUUAUAUACAUAUACAGAGUGUUAUAUAGUUUAAAAAUAACUAAUUGUAUAGUUUGAAAGAAAUUUACGAGACGAACCUUUUGAAACUAAUUAGUCUAUGAUUAAUCAUAACUACUACAGUAACUCAGAUGUGCUAAUACAUAUUACUUAGGCUUAAAAAUUCGUCUUGUGGCUUUCUCACACCCUAUGUAAUUAGUUUUUUAAUAGGACGCCGAAAUAGUCUUCUAAUAUCCGGUUAAAUAUUCGUUGUAACAUGCAACUAAAAAAUUUCGCGAACUAAAUAAACCCUAAAUUAUUGUUGGGGAGUGCCUUGAGAUGCAAAUGGUCAUAGCAGUGUUUGUUUAAAUGUCUCUUAGGGGGUACUUUCUCUUUAUUAUUUUGUUGUUGCGAUCGUUGUUGAUGUUGGUGGUGGUUGUUUUUAUUCAUCAUUGAUAUGUUGUAUUGUAUUUUAUGACUAGGUUGGUCAUAGAGAAAAUGGUAUAUUUUAGGAUCUUUUUAAUAAAAAUAUAAGGGUCUACUUGAUGGAGCUAUAUAGCUCAUAAACCAUAAACCUCUACAUAAAAUUCACUUGAUUUUAGCGUUAGUUUAAGGUUUUUUACUCAUCCUUGAUUAAAAUUAUUUUUUGUCGUAGCAGUCACAUGUAUUUGUCUUACAAAGUCGCAACCUACAAAAUUGUUUGUGGAUUUUUUAUUAGGUGGAACAGAAUAGAUGAUUUUGGUUUGUAUAGGUCAUGGUAUAUUGACUUAUGUCUAUCAGGAAAUAAAUUGAACUUAGAGUGUAUCAUUUUUAGCCGGAAAAAAACGUCCGGUGCUUUCGCAAAUGCUAGUGCUAAGCUAUUUUUAUCUCUUUUUUCAUAUGUCUGUUUACCAAACUAUUAAACGAUAUUUUAUUUUGAAAUAUAUAUAUAUAUAAAAGUUAUUUUACAAAUCAUAUUUUCUUUAAAUUAGCGGUAACUAAUAAUUAAUCAUAGCUAAUGGCUUCUCCGUUUUUCGUACACUAAUUAGCUGGCGUUUGCAAACGGGACAUUAUCGCCUUUCCUGUUUCCUAGAUUGUGACUUUGAGCAAGAAAAUGAGAAAGAAAGGCGAAGUGUUUUAGUUGAAAGUAAUCGAUUAACACCCUAUUAAAAUGUCUUUUUGUUUAUGUGACUUUGUAAAACAUCUAUGAUUCCCGUGUUACCAUGUCACCGGGGAUCAUAUCUAGCAAGGGUUCCAAGAAGUAUUCAUGCUAUGGUGGUGAACUCAAACUUCUUCAAGUUCAGAGGGGAGGACGAGAGAGAGGUUGUUAGGGGUGCGUUACAAUAAAUUUCCUCACUUUCCGGCUAACCUUUUUUUUCUCUUUUCUGUAACUCGUCUAGUCGUCUAUGGUUUUUACAUUUCAUAUUGAAUAUAAUUGGUAGUCCUUCUUUUGGUUUUCCAAAAAAAAAAUCCCCAAUGACUAAAUUAGCUAAGAGCUUUAAAUAUUACCUAAUAUAGGAUGACAAAAAAAUAUAUUAAUAGAAAUUAUAUAGCUAAACAUAUCGGGGCGUUUCUCUCUUAGUUCGAAGUUCAAACAAAUGAGGAGCUGGUUUUGUGGGAAGAAGUAACACUCACGUAGUACACAUUAGGCAGUUAAUAUCUGAGCGUUGUAGCAGUGACAUUCUUAUCAUCACCACCAGUGUCUUAGAUGAUAGGUGUACAAGAGUAACAUGUAUUUACGAGAAAAUACAUGUCCGUAUGUAUCUUGUGAUUAAUCGAGAAAAUAGAUCGAGCAGGACCUCUCGCCCACGAAUAAGUUCGACUCGGCCGGAGAGAUGACAGCAGGUCAAUGGCCACGCAAUGAACCGUAUGGUGUAACUAUAAGAAGAGGUGAUUGUUUAACGUAUUAAUAGAAAAAAAUCAAACGAUAUAUUUAUAAACAAAAAAUAAUUUAUAAAUAAAAAUUUUAUAUAUGUAUUCUUGAUGGUCUAGAAACCAAGGUUAAAAAAUAAAAUUUAAUAAAAAACGUAAAAUCAACUUUAAAAUUAAAAUUAAAAUUUUGGAUUUAUGAGAGAACCGAGAAGGAGGGGCGAAGGAUCUCCUCAAAGUUUCGAUGCUGCAGCAUCUUUUUUUUUUUUUUUUGCCCUUUUACCGAGCAUUCUGCUUCUCUUUCUUUGUCUUAUAACCAACCGCCAGAGAUGGCGUCGUGCCAUUCCCAGAAGCUUUCCGCCGUCGACUUGGCCCUGCACGUGGUAAGCGGCCGCCCGCAGGUCGACAGCGACAGCGGCAGGCAGGCAGGUGGGUGUGGUAGUACACCGUGCCCCGUUCUUCUCCUUGCUGGCCCGUGGUCUCCUAGUAGCAUCCUACCAGUCUAUCUAUCUUACUCUUCAUCCUAGAAAUAAAGAAUAAAAAGCAAAAGUUGAGUUUCAGCAGAAUAUUUAUCUCAUCAUAUAUUUUUAGAUGUUAUUCAUAUUAGAAGAGAAACUCUAUAUGUAGAUAUUCUUUCUCCAACCCUCCAAAUAGAUAUAGAGGAUAUCAUAUAUAGAUGAUCUGCGGGAUCUACUGAAGUACAAAGGGAUAUGGAGGAUGAAAGUGUUUUAGAUAGUCAUUCAAAUGAAUGAUAUGAAUGACCAGAUUUAGAUGAGUUGUUAGGAUGCUCUCACCUUGCCGACCACACGCUGUAACUGUGCGUGUGCAAAACCGGCGUCGCAACUCGCAAACGGACGCUUACUGUACACCCGCCCGUCGGUGCCACCGCGCAACACGGGAGGGGNNNNNNNNNNNNNNNNNNNNNNNNNNNNNNNNNNNNNNNNNNNNNNNNNNNNNNNNNNNNNNNNNNNNNNNNNNNNNNNNNNNNNNNNNNNNNNNNNNNNNNNNNNNNNNNNNNNNNNNNNNNNNNNNNNNNNNNNNNNNNNNNNNNNNNNNNNNNNNNNNNNNNNNNNNNNNNNNNNNNNNNNNNNNNNNNNNNNNNNNNNNNNNUGGCUAUCGGCGUUGCGCUGCGCGGCAGCUUCGAACCGGAACGGGCCCCGUCCCGUCCCGUCGGCGUCUGCUGACUUGGACUAGUCGUUUCUCACGUGCACAAAAAAGUCAGAAAAAAAAAACCGUAUUGUAUUGUCGUUGCCUUGCUGGUGCAGUGGUCUCUUGGCAUUUCUGUACGAGAGGAAAUGGCAGUUGGGAGGAACUCUCCGUGUAGUCCAUUCGGUGUUUUCAUUUUUUAUCAGAUUUAUCGGCAUCCAAUAUUAACAUUUUAUUUUUAAAUAAGAUUAGUAUAACUACAUUUAUGUAUUUUUACCAUCUGUCGGUGCAGCGCCUGCGGCAGUAGAAUCGGCUCCUCACUCCUGCUGCCGCUCCACGUAGUGAAAAGGGCAUGAAAAGAACGUGUACUUUUUCUGCUGAAAACCACGAGCCCACAUGUUUGGUAGUAGUAGUAGCAGUAGCAGUGUGUACAAAAGUAGACAACGGCCAUGUUGGCCAAUGGUUCUCGUUGUCAUCGUUCGAGGGCAAAAAUUAAAGAAGGGAUGAUGAACCAAAACAGUAUAUUUAUGAAAAAAAAGUAAUUUAUAAAUAAAGGUUAAUGAUAAAUCACGGUAAUAAAUCGUAAAAGAACUUUAAGCGAAAGGUGGACAGCAAAAAGCGCGCACACACUAGUGAAGUGAAGUUGGUAAUACAUCACACUUAUCUCUGCUUGCAAUCCUAAUUAAACCGUUUCUGUCCAUCCUAAUUGAGCAAUUGGCACCACUCCUAACUUCGCCAAACCCACAACACAUCCGCACCCACUGCUGCAACUGCAAGCAUUCACUAGGCCUCAGUGGCAGUAAGCUCACAGGAUAACUACACUCACCUCACAAUUCUUGACGAAGGCAGGCGAUCACGUCGACGAUCCGGCUCCGUCGACAGUCCAUUUUUAGGCAAAUCUCACCCGGUUUAGCACCCUGAAAAAGAUAAGUCUCAAAAUGGCAUAGCUGUGAUGCAAACAAGGAACACAAUCAGAUGAUACAUGCCCAAAGAGGAAUAGAUUUAGUGCCUUAUCCUCGCAUUUACGUUUUUUUCCUUAACUAUUUCGUGGCAGCAAUUAAAUCACUGCACUACAAAACGGCACUCUUCACUCCGGGAUCCAAAAGAAUUCCCCAAACCCAGAUCAGAUCAGAAUUCAGGACAUCCACUCGACGCCGUCGCCGUCGCUCUCCGGCCAACCAAACCAACCAAUCAACCGCGACGCCGCAGCAGCCUGCAGGUAAAAACAUUGCAGCAAGAAAUCUCUUCCCGUGCUGUCCCAAUCUGCGUGUGCUUGAUGUUUCUGUUAAUCUUUUGCGUGUGAUCCGGGGAGCCCGGGUAGAUCCAUCCAUCGAUUUCACCGUAGGGAGCGGCUCAAUUUUACAGCGAUAUAUGUUCAUGUGUGGGGCUGAUGGCUGAUCACUCCGGCCAGUAGCUAGCUGUUGAUCUGUGAUGCGUUUCAUGGUCGCUUGAGAGUCACUCAAAGGCGAAUCAAUCAUAACUUUUCUUGCUUUCCUUUUUUUUUUCUUCGGGGUGGUUAGCCUCUUCUCCUGCCGUUGCAACCGAUUCGGGUGGGGGAGGAGGAGAUGGUGGUACUGCCGAGGACGCUGCUUUUCUUCUUCUGUUUGCUCCUCCCUCCAACGUCGGUGACCUUCUCCUGGGUCAAUUAUUGUUGGGGAAGAUGCAGAUUAACUUGUAGGUUAGUUGUUUGCUUAGUGAAUGAAUGCCUCUUACUGAGGUUCUCUGUGUUGUAUUUAGCUGUCCUGAUAGUUGUGAUUGACAAUGUUUUGCUGGGGACUUCUUUUUUUUUUUUUUUUUUUUUUUUUUUUUUUUUUUU